RNAcentral lists this long non-coding RNA (77966 nucleotides) under Citrus x clementina. Its description in RNAcentral is "Citrus clementina (C. clementina) long non-coding RNA (CCLE_LNC003553)". Lineage: Eukaryota; Viridiplantae; Streptophyta; Magnoliopsida; Sapindales; Rutaceae. The record is from RNAcentral.
GGUAAGAUUUUGUGAUUGCUUUAUUAUCCUUAUCUCCCGUACUUUUUUCCUUUACUAUUACUUAAUUCUGAUGCUUAUGGUUACAAUACAAUAGGGAUCGACAAAAUAUGAGCACUACUAAUCUUAUCUGCCCUCACGAUUCCACUCGACCUUCUAUUUUAUUUUUCUUUUUCAGAAAGUUGGUCUUAUUCGUCCUGGUAAUUCCCCACUUUAGUGUCCUAAAGUUGAGCUACAUAUUGACGCCAUUAUUUAAUUUGCACCUUUAUCUAAAAAGCAAUCAUGCAAAAAUUUUACUUAUAUCUUUUUCUGGUAUUCUCAAUUUAUUUCAUCACCUACCUUUUCGACGUGAUUUUUUUUUUAUUCCUCUUUGGUUUGUCCUAUUUUGUUAGAUAGAAGAUAUUUGUUCAAACUCAAUUAUUGUAGCCACUGGGCGGCUGGCGCAGCCCUCAUCUGGUCAUGAAUUGCGUCGUGUUACUUGAGUUUGAAUAAUAAUUAAAGAUAAAAAUUGAUGUUUAGUGUCUGAAAUUUGUCCAUAUCAAAUGACGUAAAGAAUUUGGGGAGAAUUGACUUUGAGUUAGGUCCCAAUAUCUCUUACUUUUAUCACUUAGGCUCUAUUUUUUUUUCCCCUAAUACCCAUUACGUUCUUGAUUUUAUAAUUUCAAGGUUCAAAUUUUAUUGUUGAAGAUCAAAUGUAACUUUUUACCUACAAAACUUUGUAUUCAAAUUAUUUUUUUUUCUUUUAAUAUUUGAAUAUUAGAGACUUAAAUAGCAAGAGUUUAUUUGUUAAAUGUCUGAAGUCUGAAAUUUUUAUUAAUUUAAGAUACUUUUUAAGUUUACUUUUUUGUUUUUUUUAUAAUUUAUGUAUGAUUUUUAGAUAUUUAUAUGUAAAGAUGUUUAUAUUAACUUCUGUGACUUUUAUCUAAAUGGAAAGUAAAAACUAUAUCCAGAAAUAUCUCUAUCAAAUACACUUAUUUCUUAAAAUAUAAAACUAAAUAUCUUUAUUCGUUUUAACUUAUAAGGACAUAAACAUCAAAUAUCCAUGUUAGUUUUUUUAUUUCAAAAAAAUAAAUAAAAUGUACCUAUGUUUAGAUAUUAAAAAAUAAAUAAAUAAAUAGGUCAUCCAAAUAUUUGUAUUCAUAUUCAUUUAGACUUCUGUUAAAUUCAUACUUAUUUAUUUUUUCAAAAAAAAAAACUCUUGGUAAAAAAAAAAAAAAUUAAGGAUCUAACUGUCAUUCUUCUAGUAUUUCAAGGAUAGUACUUAUAAAUAUGUUUAACAAUAAACAUACGACAUGACUACAAAAUUUUUUUAUGUGCCAGGUUUUCUCCAUGCCUAUAACCUUCUAGCUAGCUUUAGCAGAAUUUUGUGUGAAUCACGUUGACUCUUUUUAUGAUAAGGGCAUCAGAUUCGCUUGUAACUUUGUUAGGUAUCAAGGAAAGUUACAAUGUAAAAUAAAAAUUAAUAGUAAUACAAUAAAUAUAAUUUUAAUAAAAUAUUAAAAAUAUUAUAUAUUUUUCGUCAUAUAAAUAAAAAAUAAAAAUAAUUUAAAUUUCAAACUCCAAUAUUAAAUAUUUAUUAAAAAUUUUAGCAUCAUCACUAAAAAUUUACAAGUGCAUGUCCAACUACGACACGUACAGGGACUCUGCGUAGACUCUGCGUAGAAGGGCACUGGCUUCUUCUUGAUUGUGCGUAAUGAUUACUUUAAGAAGUGGCAAACACUGAAGGGCCCGCAAUGAAGAAGCCUUCAGAGUGCAGAAUUUCUUUAGGGUUAUAAAAUCGAAUUAUUCCAUGAUGCGUGAAUCUCAAACGUAAAGUUUUAUUUUGUCCAUUUAAACUAUCUAUUUUUACUAUCCUUUCACGGCCCUUUUUGUGCUGAUUCGAUAUUAAUUUUAAGGGAUAAUAAAUUUUAGGUCCUUUAUAUUUUUUUACAUUUAUUAUUCAAGUCCGUAGUUUAUUAUUAAUUAUCCAUUAUAUAUCCAGGAUAUAUUGUAGUAGAUUGACAGUAAGGUUACCAUGGUAAAAGAGCUUAAAAUAGUUGAACUCAGGGGUGUCAAAUUGUGUCAUGCUGUUAGGAUCUCACCAUAAAAUUUAAGUUAUUUCGAUACGUCGUAUGGUAUUGUAUUAAGAUGUAUUAAUCAUGUAUCAUAAGGUUGUAUUAAAAAUCUCCGGAUUCAAAUUGAAUAAAUUGGCAAGGGCGCCACUGAUGAUGAACAAUGAAACUGCGUAAAACAAAAUUAUGGAGGUAGAAGAGAUCUUUGCAAAUUGAUAACGAUAUUCAGUUCUUAUAAAUCAAAACAAUCAGCUCUUACAAUCAUAAUGCAAUCGAAGUAAUUUUUUUUUUUCAAUCUUUUCAUUUUGCAUUUUGUAGAUCGGCAUGUCAAGCGCAACUGAAACUCUGUGCGGGCAAGCAUUUGGAGCAAAGCAAUACCACAUGAUGGGUAUCUACUUGCACAGAUCAUGGAUCAUAAAUCUUGCUACUGGAACAAUAUUGCUUCCUGCGUUUAUCUUCGCAGCAGAUAUUUUCAAACUGCUCGGAGAACAAACAUAGCAAACAGAGCCGGAGACAUCUCACUUUGGUUCAUUGGCAUUCUCUAUUUCUUUGUCUUCAGCUUAACGAUCCAAAAGUACUUGCAAGCACAGCUCAAGAACAUGUUUGUCGGAUGGCUUUCGGCUGUUGCAUUUGUUGUUCAUGUGGCCUUGUCAUGGAUCUUUGUGAGCAAAUUGAACUUGGGGAUUCCUGGUGCAAUGAGUGCAAUGAUAAUCGCAAGUUGGUUUAUAGUAAUUGGACAGUUUGUGUACUCUUUGGCGGUUGGUGUCCCAAUACAUGGAAAGGAUUCAGUUCUGCAGCUUUUGCUGAUUUGUAUCCUGUUUUGAAGCUCUCAAUAUCCUCAGGUGUAAUGAUUUGGUAAGAUAUCUAUUUCUAUUGUAUAUCUAUAGCCGAACAAUACAUAAUGUUUUAAUCUGUCCCCAUGAAGUUAGCGGUUAGCCCAAGAGUUUUCAAACAGUUAUUAUUAUUUUUUUUUGAGCUAAUCAUAUCUUUUUAUGUUCUUUUUUGGUGGCUUUUAACUUUAAUAGCUUAGAGUUUUGGUACAAUGCUCUUCUAGUCCUAUUAGCAGGAUAUAUGAAAAAUGCCACAAUUGAGAUUUCUUCCUUCUCCAUUUGGUAAGUUUUAAAUCUAUGCCAUAAUAUUUCUUUGUUUUCCUUUAAAGUUUUUUUAUACCCAAAACUACACUAAAUUGGAAUAUUUGAAUGUCAUUGUAGCCUCAAUAUCAUAUCUUGGGAAUUUAUGUUGGUCUUUGGCUUCCUAGCUGCCUCUGGGUAUGUCUCCAAAAAUGAUCAUUUCCUUUAAAAAUAACAUAGAAAAAAGAAAGAAUAGUAACAUCUUUUGGUAUGAUAAAUAGUCACAGAAAUUCUCUUAUUUAUAAAAAUGGUCACACAGACCCUUUUUUGGUAUAUAAAAUUAUCUUUUCUGUGCAUAAAAUUGUUAAACAAACUCCUAAAAUUUAUCCAAAAAAAAGUGGUCUGUGUGAUCAUUAUUCUGAAAUAAAUGAGUCCCUGUCACUAUUUCUCCAAAUCACGGGUGUCGCCAUCUUUUAUUAUAUUCAUAUCAUCUCUUAUAUCUUAUUUGGUUUUCUAGCGUGCGGGUUUCAAAUGAACUGGCGAGAGGAGAUGCUAAAGCUGCGAAAUUUUCUGUAAAAGUUGCAAUAGCUACCACAACUGUCAUUGGAUUUUUCUUUUCCUUAAUCUGCUUAGUCUUCAGCCGUAAGCUCGCACAUUUGUUCACAAGUAAUGAUGAAGUAAUAGAAUCCGUCACAAGCCUCUCAGUGCUGCUUGCUUUCUCGGUUUUACUCAAUGGCUUUCAGGCAGUACUCUCAGGCAUGUACUGAAUUUAAUAAAUAAGAUUGCGAUAGUUAAAAUGUUUCUAAUUCAUCAUUACAAUGGAUUAAUAUUUUCAAUGUAAGUUAUUUAUUGCAGGGGUGGCAGUAGGUGCUGGCCGGCAGGCUGUGGUUGCAUAUAUUAACAUCAUUUGCUAUUAUUUCAUUGGCUCACCUGUUGGCGUUCUUCUCGGAUAUGUGGCCGAUCUCAAAGUUAAGGUAAGAAUUAUUUUGCAUUUUGAUAUUUCAAUCUGAAUUUGGAUUAGAGUACUGAUUUGAGUUGGGGUGAUUCUAUAAAUAUCUUGUGUCAUAUGUACAAGAUUUAUUUGAAUUUAGAUCAUACGAUAAUUUUAAUUUUGCUCCUCUUUUAAUAAAUUUUUACCACGCAUGUAAUAAUCUAUAGUAGUGUACCGUUAACAUCUAAUUGCCUAUGUAUUAUUUUUCAAUAACUAUGGAUCACAAUUUACAAUUCUCUAAAAGAAAAAAAAUAAAAAUCAUAUCAACAAUAAACUUAAUCCAUAUUCUUAUGAACCAUGCUACCAAAUAUCUUUAUAAAUCUCAGAUCAAUACUAUGGUCAGGGGUUCGAAUCCCGAGUGCACUGAAAUUGAACCGGAUUUGUUUUAAUUAGAAACAUACAUUUAAGUUUAAAUUUUUUUCUUCAAAAACAAAAUUCCAUGAUGAUUAUUUCAAUGAAUGGUUUGAUAUUGCACAUCAUGAACAGUUUAACUUUUUUUUGAAAUUCGAUUGUAGUUCAUCUUCAGAAACAAGUUCCGAUUAUUCUUUUAAUUUGCACAGGGUAUUUGGACUGGAAUGCUGCUUGGGGUAGUAAUGCAAUCACUUGUGCUGGGGUAUGUCACCUGGAAAACCGAUUGGGACAAUGAGGUAAGUAAUUAAAAUAAAUUCACCAAUAUGUACACAUCAUCAUCAAUUGCAUGCCUCAUUGAUGCUCAAUCUCUCUAAACUUUUCAAAAAAAGAAGUGUCAUAUUUAAUUUGUAGACUUCAAUCAUACAUUGAUGACAACACUAUUUCCUCUCUCUAGGUGAAGAAAGCAUCAGAGAGGCUCAAUAAGUGGCUCUUGAAGCCUUCUGAAGAAGAAUCCAACGGCAAUUAAACUCAACAAGUUAAGGUCCAACAUUGCUUGAAGAUCCUAAUAAUCUCAAUCAUGCAUGUAUUUUCUCUGCCAAUAAACCGAUUACCGUUAACACCAAUAACAACUUCAGAUCAAAUUUCUUUCUUUUUGUCUGUUGGCAAGAAGAGCUUGAUAAUGAGCUUGCGCAAAUGCAAUCUAAUAUUCUGAGGUUAAUUAAUUCAAGAAGUUGUAUCUUCAUAAGAAGUAUAUUUAAUGUUGUGUUUAUUUGUUGGAGUGGGAGGAGAAAUGUGGAUUCCUUCCACUCUGUCAAAGCAACCACCUAAAAGUCAGCCCUAAAUUUGGUACUUGACUUUGGUGCCAGCAAAUCAAAGAAAAUGGAGGACAUAGCCCACAAACUUUGAAAGCUAGAUUAACAAAUUGAAGCCACGCAGAUUGACGAAAUUGAAGCCAUAAUUGGUGGGCUAAAAUCGUUGAUUUUCUUGGCCACUAUUUUGCUAUAAAUAGAAGUGCAGAUGAAGAGCUAAUUCAUUCCAUUAAGAGAAAGAGCAAUUUAGCAUUUUGAGAGAGAGUUUAGAGAGCUUGAAAUUAUAAGCUCUUGUUAUAGUGAUUUGAGAGUUUGGGUGUAUUGAGAUUUUGGGAAGUGAGCUAAAAUACUACAAUACUUGUAACUCUUUUUUACUAGUAAAAUAUUUCCUUCUGUCUUUGCCCGUGGACGUAGGCUAAAAGCCGAACCACGUAAUUUUCUAGUAUCCUCUUUAUGCUUGUUCUUUAUUUUUCUUCCAAUUUUAUUUUAGCUGCGUGUCUGCUUCACACACCAAUUUCCUAACAUUGGUAUCAGAGCUAUUGGUUGUAUUUUUGGAGUCGGGUACUGUUCACGUAAGGGGUACUAUUCACGUAUACGAUACUGUUCACGUAUACGGUACUAUUCACAAGAAACGGUGGGAGCGAUUGUGUGGUUUUGUACAUGUCUAGGAAAGUUCUGUCACAAAGGCGAUAAGAGCUUAAGGAGUCUGGGUUUUAAGUGGGACCAUUAUGACCCCUCCAGUCUUUCCUAAGAACUUUCCUGGUGUGAAUUCUCACACAUACUCACAACUAUUCAAGGUGGUAUACUAGCUUGUGUGAAGUAUUUAUUAACAAAAUGGCGGCAAAGUAUGAAAUUGAGAUAUUUAACGGAAAUAAUUUUUCGUUGUGGAAAAUGAAGAUGAAAGCUGUAUUGAGGAAAAAUAAUUGCUUGGCAGCAAUUGGAGAAAGGCCCAUGGAGAUAACUGAUGACAAGUGGGACGAGAUAGAUGGCAACGCCAUUUCUGAUCUUCACUUGGCACUUGCAGACGGAGUAUUAUCCAGUGUGGCAGAGAAAAAUACAACGAAGGAAAUUUGGGAUACUCUCACAAAAUUGUAUAAGGCCAAGUCAUUACACAACAAAAUCUUCUUGAAGAGGAAACUCUAUACUCUUCGAAUGGCGGAAUCUACAAUAGUGACCGACCACAUCAACACCUUGAAGACUCUAUUUUCAAAACUCACAACGUUGGGUCAUAAUAUAGAGGAAAAUGAACGUACAAAGCUUCUACUUCAAAGUCUACCAGAUUCAAAUGAUCAACUCAUCAUCAACCUGAUGAACAACAAUCCAGCGAACAGUCUAGUUUUCGAUGAUAUUGUAGCGUCCAUAUUAAAUGAGGAGAGCAAGUGGAAAAAAAAAAACAAGCAAGUUCGCAGCAAGCGGAGGUGCUAUCAGUGAUGAGAGGGAGAUCAACGGAACAUGGCCCCAGUGGGAGUCACAAUAAUGGUAGAUCAAAAUCCAGAAGUAAGAAGAAUGUUAAAUGCUACAACUGUGGCAAGAAAGGGCACGUCAAGAAAGAGUGUUGGAGUACCCAGAAGAGAAGAGAGGGCAAAGAACCUGAGUCAUCAAAUGCUCAUGGGUGUGUAGCAAGUACCUCAGAUGAUGGUGAAAUUCUCUACAGCGAGGCAACAACUAUUUCAGAAGGCAGAAAAUGACUAUUUGAUGUCUGGCUUAUAAACUCAGGAGCUACCUGGCACAUGACCUCUCGGAGAGAAUGGUUCCACAUAUAUGAACCUAUCUCAGGAGGAUCUAUAUAUAUGGGUAAUGAUCAUACCUUGGAGAUCGCUGGUAUUGGUACUAUCAAAAUAAAAAUGUUUGAUGGUACAAUUCGCACAAUUGGGGAGGUACGACAUGUCAACGGCCUGAAGAAAAAUCUAUUGUCUUUGGGACAAAUGGAUAGUCAUAGGUACAAAACUCAUAUGGAGAAUAAAAUUAUGAAGAUUGUUAAAGGCGCGCUUGUAUUGAUAAAGAUAGAAAAGAUCGGUGCUAAUUUAUUCAUGCUUAAAGAAGAAAUACUACAUGAGGCUGAUGCGUGUGUCGCGUCAAAUGGAGAAGAGUCAACGAUAAUGUGGCAUCUCAAACUUGGCCACAUGUCAGAACAAUGUUUGAAGAUUCUCUCUGAGCGAAAAUUGCUUCCAGGGCUCAAAUCGGUUAGUUUACCAUUUUGCUAGCAUUGUGUUAUAAGUAAGCAACAUAGAUUAAAAUUCAGUAGAUCUAUUGCUAGAAGUAAAUGCAUUCUAAACUUGAUUCAUUCUGAUGUUUGGGAAUCACCGGAUAUAUCCAUGAGAGGUGCAAAGUACAUGGUGACUUUCAUUGAUGAUUAUUCCAGAAGAUGUUGGGUGUAUCCAAUUAAGAAAAAGUCAGAUGCAUUUCUAGUGUUUAAAGAAUACAAAGCGUGGGUAGAACUUGAAUCUGGUAAAAAAAUCAAGUGCUUGAGGACGGAUAAUGGUGGAGAGUAUACAGACGGUGAUUUUCUUGCUUUCUGUAAGAAAGGAAGUAUUCAGAGACAGUUCACUGUAGCAUACACUCCUCAACAAAAUGGAGUGGCGGAGCGGAUGAACAGAACUCUUACAGAAAGAAUAAGAGUUAUGCUGAAGAUUGCUGGUCUACCCAAUUCCUUCUGGGUAGAAACAGCCAAAACUGCUUGUUAUAUAGUAAAUCGGUCGCCAUCUAUAACUAUUGGGCUGAAGACAGCGAUGGAGAUGUGGACUGGAAAGCCAGUUGAUUAUUCCUACUUACAUGCAUUUGGAUGUCCUGUGUACGUGAUGUACAAUAUCCAAGAAAGAAUAAGGCUAGAUCCAAAAUCUAGAAGAUGUAUCUUCUUGGGAUAUGCUGAUGGAGUAAAGGGGUAUCGUCUGUGGGACCCCACUGCCCACAAGAUAGUCAUCACCAGAGAUGUUAUCUUUAUAGAAGAUCAACUGCAAAGGAGAGAUGAAGAUGAUAACAGUGUAAAAGAAAAGUCAGAGACUAUACCGGUAUAUGUGGAAAAUAAUCAUAAAGAUUCAGAUUCUUCUGAAGCAGCACCAGAGCACGAGGAACAAGAACCAGUUGAAUCCGAGGCUCCAUAAGUUCGUCGGUCAACUCAUGAAAGACGACCGCCAACGUGGCACUCGGAGUAUAUCACAGAGAUCAACGUUGCGUACUGUCUUCUAACGGAGCAUGGAGAGCCUUAAACUUUCUAUGAAUCUUUAAACAACUCAGAUGUUGCUUUUUGGAUGACAGCAAUGCAGGAAGAAAUUGAGGCUCUACACAAGAACAAGACAUUGGAACUUGUAUCACUACCACGUAGAAGAAAAGCCAUUGGAAACAAAUGGGUCUACAAGAUCAAGCGUGAUGGCAAUGACCAAGUAGAGCGGUAUCGUGCAAGAUUGGUGGUAAAAGGAUAUACUCAUAAAGAAGGUAUUGACUUCAAUGAGAUAUUUUCUCUGGUGGUUCGACUUACAACAAUCAGAGUAGUCUUGGCAAUGUGUGCUACAUUUGACUUACAUAUUGAACAGUUAGAUGUGAAAACUGCAUUUCUUCAUGGAGAACUUGAAGAAGAAAUAUAUAUGCUCCAGCCAGAAGGUUUUACAGAAACAGGAGAGGAGAACUUGGUUUGCAGGUUGAACAAAUUUCUAUACGGUCUUAAACAGACGCCGAGGUGUUGGUAUAAGAGAUUUGAUUCCUUCAUCAUGAGCUUUGGAUACAACAGACUCGUUCAGACCAUUGUGCAUAUUACAAGAGGUUUGAAGAUAAUGAUUUCAUCAUUUUGUUGUUGUACAUGGAUGACAUGUUGGUAGCGGGCCCCAACAAAGAUCGAGUCCAAGAAUUGAAGGCACAGUUGGCUAGGGAGUUUGAAAUGAAGGACUUGGGACCAGCAAAUAAGAUUCUAGAGAUGCAAAUUCACCGAGACAGAAAUAACAUGAAGAUUUGACUUUCACAGAAGAAUUACUUAAAGAAAAUCUUACGGCGCUUCAACAUGAAAGAUUGUAAGUCAAUUUCUACCCCACUUCCUGUUAAUUUUAAAUUAUCCUCAAAUAUGUGUUCUAGCAAUGAAGCAGAGAGGAAGAAGAUGUCUCGAGUACCGUAUGCAUCAGCAGUGGGAAGUUUAAUGUUCGCUAUGAUAUGUACUAGACCAGACAUUGCACAAGCAGUGGGAGCAGUCAGUCGAUACAUGGCAAAUCCCGGUGAAGAGCAUUGGAUAAUUGUGAAGAGGAUUUUGAGAUACAUCAAAGGAACCUCAGAUGUUGCAUUAUGUUAUGGAGGGUCAGAGUUUACUGUCAGGGGCUAUGUGGAUUCAGAUUUUGCAGGAGAUCUUGAUAAAAGAAAAUCCACUACUGGUUAUGUGUUUACACUUGCGGGAGCAGCUGUAAGCUGGGUUUUGAAACUGCAGACCUUUGUGGCUUUAUCUACAAUAGAAGCAGAGUACAUGACAGCUACACAAGCUUGCAAGGAAGCUAUUUGGAUACAAAGGUUAUUGGAGGAGCUCGGGCACAAACAACAGAAAAUUCCUGUAUUUUGUGACAGUCAGAGUGCCUUGCACAUUGCAAGGAAUUCAGCCUUUCAUUCCAGAACAAAGCAUAUAGGAGUUCAGUAUCACUUCGUUCGAGAAGUAGUGGAAGACGGAAGUGUGGAUUUACAGAAAAUCCAUACGAAGGAGAACCUAGCAGAUGUUUUGACUAAGCCAAUCAACACUGACAAGUUUGUCUCGAGUAGAUCCUCUUGUGGCCUAGCAGAAACGUAGGCAACAUGAUUAUGGCGAAGCAGAAAGGAUGGUGUGGAGAUUGAUUGCUUUUCAAUCUAAUCUCUAAGUGGGAGAAUGUCAAAGCAAGGACCUAAAAGUCAGCACCAAAUUUGGUACUUGACUUUGGUGCUAGCAAAUCAAAGAAAAUGGAGGACAUAGCCCACAAACUUUGAAAGCUAGAUUGACAAAUUGAAGCCACGCGGAUUGACGAAAUUGAAACCAUAAUUGGUGGGCUAAAAUCGUUGAUUUUCUUGGCUAAUAUUUUGCUAUAAAUAGAAGUAUAUAUGAAGAGCUAAUUCAUUCCAUUAAGAGAGUUUAGAGAGCUUGAAAUUAUAAGCUCUUGUUAUAGUGAUUUGAGAGUUUGGGUGUAUUGAGAUUUUGGGAAGUGAGCUAAAAUACUACAAUACUCGUAACUCAUUUUUACUAGUAAAAUAUUUCCUUCUGUCUUCGCCCGUGGACGUAGUCUAAAAGCCGAACCACGUAAUUUUCUAGUAUCGUCUUUGUGCUUGUUCUUUAUUUUUCUUCUAAUUUUAUUUUAACUGCGUGUCUGCUUCACCCACCAAUUUCCUAAUACACUCUAAUAUUUACUUGUUUAUUUAAGAAGGGGGGUGGAAGUUCCACUCCAUGGAUUCCACUCAUUUUUGGAGUGUGCAGUGGGAUUCCUACUCCCACCUUUUUUUUUUUUUUAGCAUUUCUUUAUUAAAUAUAAUAUAAUUAUAUUUAUUAAAAUAAAGUAAUGUCACAGUUACUUAAAAAUAUUAAUAUUAAACUUAUUUGAAUAUAAUAUUAUUAUAUUUAGUGAAAAAUAAUAAUUUAUUUAAUCUAAGUUAAAUUAUUUUUAAAUAUUAUUAUUAUACUUGUGGAGAACUAAUAAUAUUACUUUUCAUUUAUUUAAUUUUAAUAGUAUUAUAUUUAUUUAAUGUUAAUAAUUAAUAGUAAUAAAUAAUUAUUCUAAAAAAAUAUAAUUUUGUACUAUAUUAUUAAUAAUAAUGUUUCAUGUAUUGCUAUUAUCAGGAAUUUGUAACUUACAUAAUUAAAAUUAAAAUUAAUAAAAACAAUUGUGAUUUAAAUAAUUAAGAAUAUUAUAAUAAUUAUCAAUUUAUAUAAUUAAAAUUAAUAAUAAAAUAAAUAGUUUAUUUUACAAAUAUUUUUUUAUUCGCUUUGUAAUUACAAACCAAUUCUUUAAAUAUGAGUAAAACUGUAAUUUGAAACAAUUUGCUCCUAACCCAAGACAAAAUAAAUACAUAAUGAGAUUCUAAUUCAUAUUCCACACUUUCAUUUCAGUAUAAGUAAACAACAUAUUCAAACUCCUACUUCAUACUCGCAAUCCUAGAUUUCCACUUCUUAGAAUUUUCAAUUCAAUCCGAGAAUUAAAUGCUACCUUAAACAUAAAGACAACAAAGAGUACUUAUUAGUUUGCUAUUAUUCUCAAUUUUGGUUAUAAAUUUUAGAGACUGCAUUUGAUUAAAACGUUGGACACGGCUAUAUUUGAAUUUUAAAGCACUAACUUGAAGUAUGAAUUGGCUUUUGGAUUAAAAUUCACACACUUAAUAUAUAUAUUAGCUUUCCAAUUAGAGAUAUCUGACUUUAAUAAAGUCAGGGAUAAGUUAAAAGACAAAAUAAACACAGACUCAAAUACAAUGUAUUUGGUCUUGUAAUGUAUUGAUUUUUUUUUUAAUCUUUUAAUUAAUCUAUGAUUUUAUUAAAGUUAGAGAUUCAUAAUUAGAAAACCACUAUUUAUUUAUAUAUGAUCUAGUGAAUAAUAUAAUUCUCACCUUAUGGUGAACAAUACUGUCGCUACUCAAUAUAUACUAGCGCACCUGUGCAUGGUAAAAUAGUAAAUAAUAAAUUUUCCAUCCCCACUAGCUAAUUAAUCAGCAACUUAUUGAAAAAUUGGCGUCAUAUACAACAUUGCUUGCGUCGCAAAUAAAUAUAUAUGUCUGCAAUAAAAUUAAUACUUGAUCGUAGCUCAUGUUUGGCUGCGUAUUGCCAGUUAAAUAUACGAGAGACAAACAAUAUGUCGGUUUUGGUCAAACAAAUAUUUGAACAUAUCUUAACAUUAACUAGUUUGCACUUUGUAGCUCUAAUUUUGCUCUUUAAUUUCUAUGAUUAAUGUGUUGGGUAUCUCAUUCGACAUGUGUGAUGAUUUUAAUUAAUCCGAUGAGCUAGCACGUGUAGCUAGAUAUAUUAAAGUUCUACUUGAUUAAUUUGUAAAAAUAAAUGGAAAUUAAUAUACAUAUUACAAGAGAGAGCUGAUUAACGAUCAGUAUGCCAUUGAUCAAUUAAAUGUAUAUAUAUCUGGCUUCUCUUACUGAGCAGCAUUCCAAUACUCAUUUUAAUUUUGAUUAUAAUUUCAAUUUAUUUAGUGGAUAAUACAUCUUAUUACAGCAACAAUAUUGCUUCCUGGGUUUAUCGUCUCAAGUUCAAUCUUCAAAUUUCUUGGCCAAGGCAAAGACAUAGCAAAUAGGGCAGGACAUUUCUUGCCCAUGGUUCAUUGCCGUUAUUUGUUUUUGGCACUUUCACUUGACCAUACAAAGGCACCUACGCUCACAGCUUGAAAACUCAAAUUAUUUAUGUCACUGGUGGUUGAUGCCCUAAUACCUGGAGAGGAUUCAAUUUAGAUUCUUUUGCUGAUUUAUUUCCUCUAAUUAAACUCUCGACAUCUUUGAACGUAUGAUAUGGUACAUAAGUGCAACCGAGCAUUCUUAAUAAAAACUAAUUACUCAUUAAAUUUAUGAAAAAAUGCAGAGUUGAGAUAUCUGCCAUCUCCAUAUGGUAACUCUAUGUUGGUUCUAUUUUUUUUCUUUCUUACCCCGAAAUUGGAUUUUCAAUGCGCUGCAAGCUACAUUACAGAACGAUAUAUAUAUAUGUAUACUACAUAACUGUCUAAUGUUUUUUGCUUCGCUUUUAUUGUUUCGGUCCCUAUAAUUUUUUUUCCUUCUUUCGAAUUACCCAUUAUAUCUCUUAAGUUAAAAUUUUGAUAUUCAAAUUUACUGUACAAAAGAUAAUAAUAAUUUUAACAAGUAAAAUCUAUCACAUCUUUUGACAAACACAUUAGAUUAGACUAUCAAAAGUAUAUAUGAUAGUAAUAAAAAUAAGAAAAAUGUGUUUUUUUUCUCUGGUCAUUUACUUGUUUUAAGACUAUGGAUAUAAUGGGUUAUUGAAAACUACAUACAUCCAUAAAUAUAUUUUAGUGAUCAUUAGGGUCUACCAUAUAGAAAGCAUCUAAAAACGUAGCAGGACUGUGAGACAUCCUAUAAAUAGUAUUUAAAUUGUGGAUUAAUAAGAUAAUGUCACGUGACACUGUCGCUCAUCAUUAGGUAAUUACUGCCGCCCAUUAUAUCAUUACUUCCCCAUAUACUAUGGAUAUAAUGGGUUAUUGAAAAAUACAUACAUACAUAAAUAUAAUUUAGUGGUUAUUAGCGUCUACCAUGUAGUAAGCACCUGAAAACAUAGCAGAACUUUGAGACAUCAUGUAAAUAAUAUUUAAAUUGUGGAUUUAUAAGACAACGUCAUGUGACACUGUCACUCACCAUUAAGUUAUUAUUGUCGCCCAUUAUAUCAUUACUUCCUCAUAUGCAUAUAUUAAGAGUGUCAUAGGCAUAUACAGAGAGUGAUCAAGUAACGUUGAGAAUAAGAGGACAGAGAGUGAUCUUGUAACAGUAUAGUAGCAUAUAUUAACAUUUGCUGCUAUUAUGUGAUUGGUACCUGUACGAGCUUUUCAUGUACGUGGCCAAUCUCAAAGUCAAGAUAUCAAUUCAUCUUUGUAUUUCUUACUUUUCAUCUUUUUCCCUCUUGAUAAAGAACUUCAUAGAUUUAAAUUUAGCAUCUUUUACAGAGGAUAUAUAAUUUGAUAUUUAUCGUUAAUAUAGCUCUUAUGUUUUUUUAAUCGGUAAAUGUUCCUUUAAUCGCGACUGUUUGAGCAAAUUAUCAUUUCGUUAGUUCGUUCACUAUUUUAAAAUUGCCCAAAAAUUAAAGUCCUCUCAUAUAAUCUAUUUUUUACUUAUUACCUCUUGCUUUAUUUGAAUUUUUAAGUUAUAUCAAAAUGAAGUAUUAUUUUAUUAGGCCCCUUUGAGAUUACUUUUGAGAGAGUUAAAAAUAAUUUUGAAAAGUUAAAAGCUAAUUUUGGUGUUUGAUAAUUUUUUUAAACUACUUUAAAAAAUUACCUCAUCCCAUAGCAGAGUUUGAAUAGUAGGAAAGAUUAGCUUCAUAAUAUUUAAUUUUGAAAAUGAGUUUUGUACUUAAUGCAAUUUCAUAUAUAUCCUCACAUAUAUAAAAAUCCAAAAUUAUCCUUAUUUAAUUGUGAAAUAAAAUCAUUAAAUUUAAAGAGAUUACUAUUAUUAUCAAUUAUAUUGAAUAACAAAAUACAAAAUACAAAAAAAAUAUUUUUUAUUAAUUAUUAUAUAUACACAAUAAAAAUAAUAUAUAAAAAUGACAAUAAAUUUAUGAAAAAACAAUUAUUGAACAUAAUAUCUAUUUGAGUCAUUUGCAUGUAUUCUUGCAGUAAUUUAAUAGUAAGAUUUACCAAAAAUAUAUGAUUAGUUUUAAAACUCAUAACACUUUUAAAAAUAAUUUUUUCUAUAUAUUAAACGAUUGCCUACACAACUGAUUAUUUUUAAAGCACAACUAAUAUUAAUUAUUUUAAAAGCUGCACUUAUUACCAAAUUAGCGUAAUCCAACAGUUAUAAAAGUAAUGAUAGAGAAUUUUGGAUAAAUUUUAAAAAUACAGGAACUAACUAGGUAAUUAACCCAAUCCAAAAGUACUAAAGAAGCUUUUACCCUAUUUUGAUCAUGAUGCCUUACUUUGGAGUACAUGGAAUGGCUUGUUGUAGUUCAUUUUUCAAAAACUAGAUGAAUAUCUUCAUUCAAUUAAUUUGCGCAUGGUAUAUGGAUUGGAAUGCUGCUUGGAGUAGUAAACCAAUCAUCGUGCUUGGCUAUGUUCCAAGAAAACCGACUGGGACAAUGAGGUAAAUAUUUAAAUUAAAUGAAGUUUCAUUCUAUGAAGCAUUAAUAUUGUAAUUAAACAUGAAUUGUGUAAAUGAUACAUAAGACAUAUAAAUUCAAUAGAAAAAUUAUAAAUCAAUAAUAAGCAUAAAUAAAACAUAAAUAAUGUAAAUGCAACAUAAGACUUAGAAAUGAAAGGUAAAACAAGUAAAUUAACAUAAGAAUGGUAAAUUGGUGUUCCACUAGCAAACAAAACAAAAACUUUCAAAUGAAACAUAAAAUUUAUAAAUCAACAAUAAGUGUAAAAUAGAACAUAAAUUGUCUAAAUAAAACAUAAGAUUUCUAAAUAAAAGGUAAAACAAGUAAAUCAACAUGAAAAUGAUAAAUUAGUGUAUCAAUAGUAAACAAAAGAAACUUACAAAUAUAAUAUAAAACUUAAAAAUUAAUAAUAAGUGUAAAAUAAAACAUAAAAUUAAAUAAAUAAAACAUAAGACUUAUAAAUGAAAGGUAAAAUAAAUAAAUUGAUAUAGGGAUGACAAAUUGGUGUAUUAUUGGGAAACAAAAUAAAAAAUUACAAAUGUAUUAGAUCCAAUUUUAUUGAUAUAUCAUAUAUGUCUAAUAAGAAUUCUUUUUAUUUUAUUUUACCUUGAUCCACAUCAAGAAAAAUGAUUUUACAUAAUUAACAUGUAUAGUAAAUAAAUACUUUAUAUGAUAGAAAAUUAAAAAAAAAGUUUAUAAAGUCCUAAGACGAAUAUAGAAUUGAAUGCCAAUUGCUUUCAAUACAAUUUUUUUUUUAAAAUUUCAAUUGACAGGUGAUUUUUUUAUUUGCUUAAUUACACUAAAUGAAUAAAUUAUUGUUUUUGGAGAUAAAAUAAAAAUAGUAGGACAACUUUCGAAGUUUUUCUUCGUUAGCUUGGCUGUAAAGAAACAAUUGUUCCCCUUUUUUACACACACACCAAAAAAAAAAAAAAAUUGAAAACAUAACUGUUUGAACGUGUUAAAUCUCUAAAAGUUCGGCUCUAAAUUGCAUAAAAACGCUAAAUUUGUGAGACCUAAAAUACCGUUCACGUAAACAAAACGAUAUUAUUAAUCAUGCAAAAUCAUUUAUUCAUGAACAGGAUCUCCGCCAUGUGAUACACGCCCAUUUCAUCUUGUACCUAUAAAAUCUUAAAUAUAUGCAUAUAUAAAAAUUUGUGGAAGGGUUUACUGAAGGAUUGACUGACAGUAUGAUGAGCUGCCAAAUACUAUUAGACAAGGAACAAAAUUCUGUGCUUCAUGAAAAUUAAGAAGUAGAUUUUUAGAAAGAUUCUAACUAGCUCAUCAUUUUUAUCUGUAUUCUCAAAACAAUCAUUUUUCACGAACUCAGUUGUAAAUAAAUAAAUGGAAUAAGAGAAUGAUCCAACAGAUUUACUGAUUGGAACUAAUUAAUGAUGAUUUUGGCUUAAAUGCAAACCGAAUGGCUUUGCCUACUCAUUGAAGUUCAAGAGAAUAAAGAAUACGAGAAACUGAACAAUACAAAUAUAUACGAACAAAGGAUUAAAGUACAUGGGGAAAAGUUGUUACAGUUACAAUACAAAUCGAAGUCAUAAUCCAAUUAUUUAUGACAAGAGAUCAUCCAAGUCCAGCAUCAAGCCGAAUGAACAGCGCACAUCCCCUAUUGGUUCUUCAGCAUCAUCAUGAAGUAAGUCUUCCAGAAAAGAAUAGUCUUCCUCAAUUAACUCAGGUAGUCCAUCACUGUCUUCGUGUUGCACCAAUGAUUCAGGCACCGCCAUGGGCACUUCAACAAUACUCUCCGAAUGACAAUGAUAAUUCUCUCCAGUUUCUCUACCCUGAAGCAUGUUGUUCCCGGAGUCAUAUUGUUGGUUACAUAUCAUCUGAUCAAAAUGACUCAUCAUCAUCUCCAUGGAUGGCUCGUAAACACUGCUUGCAAGCCCAGCUAAGCUCUGCUCACUCAUCAUGCCAGCACUGCUGCAACUUACUUCUUGAUAAUCCAUAUAGUUCUGUUGCUGAUUCUGCUGGUGGGUGAACGGCCUAUCCAUCUCAAUAUCUGCUACUUGUUCGGAUUGAUUGCUGUUGUCUUGAAAAUCCUUCAGCUUUCUUUUCUUUGCAGAACCGUACUUCAUAAUAUCAUGGCCAGUUGGUUGAUUCUUUCGGAGCCUGCAAAGCACAUAACUGGUAGCUUGAUUCUUGGGCAAAUGUAGAGUGUACUCGUGCAUGAUCCAAGCCCCGUGAUCCUCACAGCCUUGUUUUUCGUAACGAAACCGCUUCUUGGAGCCGAUUUUGAUUUUGGAUUGGCCGCUUACUAUAUCUUUACCAGCAUCCUCCCCUUGCCAAGUACCGCCGGAAGAUCCCACUUUGCGGUCGAUUCUGGAACCCUUGGAAGACUUUUUCUUCAACUGGGUGAAGAAAUAAAGAUCCUCAUCAGCAUUUAAAAAGGGUCCUCCAUGAGAAUCCCAAAUCUCAGAGGGUUUUUCCUCGUAAAGAUUACAAUCCCUGAUGAAAUACUCAGCAAGGUGAAUGAAUAUUCCCGAAACUUUCUUCUUGAGAUAAUGUUCGAUGAGUUCUUCAUCGGAUGGUCUGAACUGAAAGCCAUGGGGAAGAAAGGGUCUGUGUUCUUGCAUUUUGUUUGAGGAGAAGAUGGUUAAUUCAAUGGUGGGUUGGUUGAUUGAUUGAUGAUUGAUGGAGGAAAUUUUUUCGGUGAAUUAUUGAAAACAAAGAACACAGAAGCUGAGAGAGAAGCAAAGACAGAGUCAGAGAAUUAGAGAAGUGGUGAGAAGUGCGGGUGUUAAAGUUUCCUUAUAACAUAUGGACGAGUGAAGUGACGUAGCUUGGAUUACAAGUAACAAUUUCCUAAGGCAACUCCGAGAAACGCGGGUGAACUUGCGAGUUGGGUAAGAAGUCCUGACAUUUAAUAACCUUCCUAAAUCGGACAAAUCCAAGAAGCCGUUGAGCUUGAGGCUGACGCCAAGUCGGUCUUUAGAAAAAAAAAUCUAUUUUUUUUAAUAUUUCGUGAGUAUUAGAUAUUAUUAUUAUUGUGAAAAAAUAAAAGAAAACUCAGAAGUCCCCGAAAUCAUAAAAUGCAAAAAUGUUAAAAUGCGGUUCUUCCUUUGCUAAUUGCUAAACCCUAACCCUAACCCUAAUCCCCAUUUUGUCUCCACUUGAGAUUAGAUAUUUGGUGUUCUCAGAAGUUCUGUGAGUGGCAUUAGCUAAUCAUGCAACUAUGGGAUUUUAAUUCCCCUAUACUGUAGUGCUGAAUUUUCGGUCUUGUGCACCUCUCCAACUAAUUACCACGUCUGUAUUGUAAAUAGACGGUUACGAAUAAUCCCGCCAAAAUAAUAGGAAUUAGACAUAUGGCCAUUCCAAAUAGAAAGAAUCAUUUGUUUUUAAUUCUUUUUUCCAUUACUAUUGUGAAAUAAAAUUACUAGAUUUCAGAUAAGAUUUCAAAUAAUAAUGGAUUGGUGUUAAUUAAAUACUAUUUAUAUAUCUAGAUUAUUUAAAGCUAAUUUGAAAAUGUUCGUAACCUAAUUUUUGUUCUUUUUAAGGGAAAAAAAAGUCAAACUUUUUAAAGUAUUAUUUGGAAUUUUUUAUUUGUAUAAUGUGAGUAAUAAAUAAUUUUAAAUGUUGUAAAAUUUAUCCAUAAUAUUUAAAACAUAUAGUAUUAUCCUUUAAAACAUUAAAUGAUUAUUUACAAAUGAAUAUUUUUAUACCCAAAACUACACUAAAUUGGAAUAUUUGAAUGUCAUUGUAGCCUCAAUGUCAUAUCUUGGGAAUUUAUGUUGGUCUUUGGCUUCAUGGCUGCCUCUGGGUAUGUCUCUAAAAAUGAUCAUCUCCUUCAAAUAAUAACAUAGAAAAAAGAAAGAAUAGUAACAUCUUUUGGUAUGGUAAAUAGUCACAAAAAUUCUCUUAUUUAUAGAAAUGGUGACACAGACCCUUUUUUAGUAUAUAAAACUAUCUUUUCUGUGCAUAAAAUUGUUAAACAAACUCCAAAAAAUUAUCCAAAAAAGGUGUUCUGUGUGAUCAUUAUUCUGAAAUAAAUGAAUCCCUGUCACUAUUUCUCCAAAUCACGGGUGUCGCCAUCUUUUAUUAUAUUCAUAUCAUCUCUUGUAUGUUAUUUGGUUUUCUAGUGUGCGGCUUUCAAAUGAACUGGGGAGAGAUGCUAAAGCUGCGAAAUUUUCCAUAUUCUUAUGAACCAUGCCACCAAAUAUCUUUAUAAAUCUCAGAUCAAUUCUAUGGUCAAGGGUUCGAAUCCCGAGUGCACUAAAAUUGAACCGGAUUUGUUUUAAUUAGAAACAUACAUUUAAGUUUAAAUUUUUUUCUUCAAAAAAAAAAAAAAUUCCAUGAUGAUUAUUUGAAUGAAUGGUUUGAUAUUGCACAUCAUGAACAGUUUAACUUUUUUUGAAAUUCGAUUGUAGUUCAUCUUCAGAAACAAGUUCCGAUUAUUCUUUUAAUUUGCACAGGGUAUUUGGACUGGAAUGCUGCUUGGGGUAGUAAUGCAAUCACUUCUGCUGGGGUAUGUCACCUGGAAAACCGAUUGGGACAAUGAGGUAAGUAAUUAAAAUAAAUUCACCAAUAUGUACACAUCAUCAUCAAUUGCAUGCCUCAUUUUUUUUUUUUUGUGAAAAGAAAGUAAAGCUUUCUAAAAUAUAAAAUUUGAGAGUAACAUCAUGAUCUGGACUAGAAACUCUUCCAGCCAUAUAACAGAAUUCUCAAAAUCGAGAGCCACUUUUGGUAUAGCAUGAGCUAUGGCAUUACACUUCCUUGGAACAUACUGUAAUGAAAAUGCAUUCGAGAUCUGCAGCUGUUGUUUUAUUUCUUCUACUGUCCAAGAAACUUCAGUCAAGCUACUUUUCCUUCUCCAGACCAGCUCCACCACUUCUGUUGAAUCUGAUUCAAUAAUCAUAGGCAAAUAUUCUACUUGUUGGGCAACUUGAAUGCCAAAAAGGACUGCUUCAGCCUCCAUGCUCGCCACUGUCACUACUAGAAAAAUGGUCUUUACUGACUUUAGAAUAGUGUCAGAAAUUACUUUCACUGACACUUGUUAAUUGUGUCAGUAAUCUGGGAGUCAAAAAAAUAGUGACACUUGUAAGUGGUGUCAGUGAUUACUAUUACUAUAGUAUCACCGAUAUUAUGACACCAUAGUGUUAGUAGUUAUUGAUAUUUUAUUAGUGUCUAUGAUUACUGUUACCAUGGUAUCACUAGUUAAUUUAUUUUAAAAAAAAUAAAAAAUUAAAUUGGAUCAUUGCCUAUUGAUUUAUUUGUAAAAUUAAAAGCACCACAAAAUAACAAAAAGAAAUUUAUUUAUAUCACAAAAUCUUUCAUUUCACAUUUAAAUAUUAUUACCAUAUAUUACAAAUUGAACUUCAAUAGCCAAAAUAUGAGAUAUCCUACUCUCAUAACUAAAUAAUCCAAAUUCAAUAUAUAAAAAUUAGUCUCUAUCCCUAUCUAACCAACUUCCAUCAGAAUUAGCCUCAUCACUUCUGCUUUCACUGUGAUAAUUGGAGCGCCUCCGACUCCAAGUUGUUUCAUGAACUUGACGUUCAUCAUCAUGGCUUCUGCCAGAACCACUUUUCACACGAUCAGCCUCCCUUGAUCUAGACCUUCUGUAAUGAUGCCUGCAUAAGAAAUUACAAAACCAUAAAUAACCAGAAGAUUUCUAACAUCAGCAAUAAAUACAUUAAAUAAUGAAAUUUGAUCAUAGUUUGGAUCAUCACCCCUUGUACAUAAGAUUGCAAUGCUACAUCACCAAUAGACCAAAAAACCAACAGAAGAACUUUCUUUAAAUCUUGCAUUGUGAGAACAUCUUUUCAUUAUUCAUUGCUUCUAAGAAAACCGAGUUAGGAGACUUGAAGAAAACACAAAUGAAGAGAACGAUACAAUGAAGAAACCUCUCAAAAUCAUCGGUCAAACAUGGAAGUUUAAACUAAAAAAUUCAAAUAACAGAAAGUGAAUUAAAUAAACAAGAGUUCAUAUAUACCAAGUACAGUUUUUAGUGUCUAUGACUAGUAAUAAAAGCAUACCUGUCAGCAUUAGUUGAAUCUAUCUUGUUCCUCGUUUGUCCUGAGCAUUCUUGAUUCCAGGUCCCAGAUUCAUUAGAAUAACCAAAUAAAGCAGCCAUCUUUUUCACCCAAUAUCUCGGAGGUGGUUUAUCCCAAUCAGCCCAUUCAUAGUCUCCCCCAGGGUUGCGGAAACAGUGGAUAAAAUUGCAAGCCAUUCCACGAGAGCAUGUCUGUUAAAAUAUGCCCAACGAAGAUAAUAAGAGUGUAAAGAAAAGAAGAAAAGAAACAAACUCAUUUCAUAUCAAAAGCAAAAUGGCAAAGAAAAAAGCAAGUGUAUAAGCCGCACAAUUAUAACUCUAAAAAAUGAGACAAUUGGCUGUACCUUUAGUCUUGACUUCAUAUAUUCCCCACAUAUGGCAAUCUUCCAUCUAGUCCUAUUAAUAUAUUCACAUGUGAUAUGUCAAGAAACACACAAAUAAAUAAACCAUCACCAUCCAGAAAAUGACAAGCUGUAAAAUUCAGUAAACAGUAAUGUGUUGAUUACAAUUUAAGCAUGGAGAAAAAUUUCAGAUUAGCCUAUGUCAACAGUGUCCACAGAUAGUUAAAAGAUGGGAGAAUGUGCUGGCGUUCACUAAGCAUAUAAUUUUUCACAGCUUAACCCAUUGCAAUUUUACCAGUGUCAAGUCUAAAGGAAACUAGUCAGGAAUCUUCUGUAAAGUAAAUAAAUAUUGAAACAACUGUUCUCAUAGCAAUAAAAUGAAAUUAUUUUAAUAAUUUUCUUCAACUUUCAGACCAAUUAAACAAGUAAAGCAAUUUUAGUACAAUGCACAGCAAUUUAAGCUGAAUGGACAAUUGGAACAAUUACGGAACAACUAGACCCCAACGAAUACUGUAAAAACAACCCUUAAACAAUGACUUAAGAAAGUAGAAGCUUCUCUUAAGAAAGUAGAAGCUUCUCCUAGUUCAUGCCUUUUCAAUCUCCCUUUGCUAAGAAAGUUGCCCUGGUAUUUAAGACUAUCCAAAUCCUGUCAAUAUGUUGGGACAUUCAAAUACAGCCUCCAAGAAGACACGCUGUAAGAUUUACAACUGAAGUCUGUCGGAUAAACCAAAUCUUAUACCCAAUGCCAAGAGCUUUAAUUUAAUCCAUUUUAACAGGCACCAAUUACCAGGAAUGCAGGCAGACAAAGAGGAUCAAAAUGACAGGAUAUCAGUAUUCUGAAAUUUCUAUCAGAAAAAUGAAAAGUGGCAAGGCCUAUUCACUGAGAGCCAAAAUUUUUUUAAAUAGUAUUUACUUUAUAUAAAACAAAUAAAUAUAAAGUAGAAAGUAAGCUCCAACAAUUCUUCACAAAGACCUGUUUCCCAGCAAAGUAACGACCAUUGACAGAAUGGUAAGCGAGAACAGCUGAUUCCAGCGACUUAUAGAGAACAUAAACAUUUCCUCUCAAGUGGGAAGAACCAUUUCUACACACCUGCACAUAUUUGUUAGUUAGUAUAAGCAGAAAAGGAAGAAACCCAUGCCUAAAUCUUACAGAAUACCGAGUCUACAAGAAAUGCUAAAUAAUGUCCAUAGAGUUUCAAUUAAUCUGGGAGGCCAGAGAAUGAUUAAAGAAAGAGUAAUGAAAGAACCACAACCAUCUUGUACAAACAAGGGCAUACAAACUAAUAUGGCAUGAGGAGAUUGAUUGUAUGAAACCAUCCUAGGUCUACAUAGUUGAAAAAAAUAACUGUUAUCACUUUUCAGCCAAGCUCUUCAUACCACAUCAGUUGGUACACACUAAGCUGUAAAAAUUUGUUUGUGGCUCUGUCAUUAUUGUCAAAGAAAAUGGUGACAGCUAGUUUUCUUCAUAUUUAUCAUUUUUGCUAAUCUCAAAAUUGCGAUAUUUGAAAAACCUAAGAAAAGGGUAAUAGAAAUAAAGAAACUUGAGAAACUCCAAGACAACAAGUACAUUUACAGAAAAUAGUUAACAACAUUGAAAUUGACAAUUUCACCAAACUUCAGGAACUCCGUAUGAACAUCCUCAUAAAAUUCUUCAUAAGAGCGUUCAACUUCUUCAUCUGUAUACUGAAAAGAAAGAAAGCAAAUCAACCAAAAUUUUUUUUUGCGUAUGUUAACAUCAAAAGCAUAAAAUCAAAAGAAAAGUAUGAAAGUAUAGUCUGUAAAGAACAACUUAAAGUUAUAGGUGAAUGAAGUAAAAUGGAAAAAAAUGAAUGCAGCUAGAACAACAACACUAGGUAGUAUGACUGCAGCUAGUGGUGCCAUAUCAAAGCCACUGCUCCGCUUGCUGCAGAUAAAAUAGAAAAGGUAAAAGAAAUAAUGAACAAAGACAUAAACGCCAUACUUAUCCUAAUUUUAUCUGUUUACAGAAUGAAGAUAACAUAUCUCAAAAGUUGAACAUGUAAAGCCUUUCCCCAUAUAAUAAUUAACAAGGAACUUUCACAGUUUCACCACCUCAAUGACCACAUUUAAAUUAAUUUGUUCUAUACCUUUUGGAAAGAGCACGGGAAGGAGAGAGUGAUUUUGGCCGAUUCCUCAAUCUGUCACUUGAAUGGGAACACGAUCUAUGUCUACGCCUUCUUUCUUUGCCUCUAUUAUACUCACGAUACCUACAAAAAAAAAGUGAUUAAUUUUAAUUAUUGAGCAUCAAAGAUGCAUUUCACACUUGUAAAUAAAGUUUAGGGUUUUUGUUUUCUAAUUUAUUUGGUUCUUUCAUCAAUCAUUUAAUCAAUUUUCUAUAGAUCUGAUCUAAAAAUAUAAAAAUCAAGAAAUUAAUCACUCUUUUUUUUAAUAAAAAAAUUAAAUUACAACCUGAUUCCCUCAUUUUCUAAAAUUCACGAAAUAAAGAGAUAACACAUGUUAAAAAUUUUCAAAUCUAAUAUGAAAAUAGCCAUCUAUCGCACAUACCUCGCUUCUUAUCUUUUAUCUUUAUUAUGAAUGAAAAGAACAACGGCUGAUGGUCGCCUAGACGAUGAUGACAAGCAACGAUGAGAGCCGAAGCGAAAUGACCGCGACAAAUGAGAGGCGAUACCGCCAUGACGAAUGAGAGACAACGAUCAUGAAGACUGGAUGACGAUCGCAAGGGGAGGCAAAGCGACGACCGCGAAGACUAGAUGACGGUAGUUUGGGCAAGGCAGUGAGAUAGGAGAUCGUGUUUUGAGAGUUAGAAAAUUAGGGUUCUUUCAUUUCUACUUACAAGUUCUUUUUCUAAUUGGUUUUUUGUGUUUAUAUAAAUGUUUUUUUGGCUAAUACCUUAAAACACAGUUACAAUGGUUUUUUUCUUAAAUUUAAAAGUUUGACUGUUGGAAGUCUUGGGUUCGAGUUGUAUGUGGAACAAGAUUAGAAUUAUUAUAUUUUUUCAACUGAUACUUUGGUGUCAGAGAUCUCUGAUGUCUAACUUACAGACACCAUCGUAUCAGUAAUUUGUGAUACUUAAAUGUUAAAUACGGAAAAUGGUCCACAUGUAUGUAAAUACUGAUACUUUUUAAAAAAGUGUCACGAGUUAAGCAUCAGUAAAGACCAUUUUUCUAGUAGUGUGUUCCCUGAAAGCACACCUUCUUAACAGCUGCAGCAAUGAUUUUUCCAUUGGAAUUCCUAACCACUGCCUCCAACCCUGCCUUUAGACCUGCCAUUUGAAUCGCAACAUCCACAUUGACUUUAUACUUCCCCUCUGGAGGAGGUGUCCAAAUUUGUUGGUUAUUUUGAUAAUGAAGUGAUCUAGCUGGACCGUUUUGGGUUUUGAUUCUCUUAUAUGACUCCACAAUAGCUGAUGCUCUAGCUGCUGUCAGUUUUGGCUCUUCCUGCUUUCCUUCAAUUACAAAGCGGUUCCUCGCAUACCAAAUGGCCCAACAUAUUGCAAGAAUCUACUCAAUCUCUUUCUUCAUUCUUCUUGAUGCUAGUUCUUGGAGCAUACUCAGUAUGUCAUGCUGAGACAACAACUUCAUAUCUUCGUAAAAAUCUGUCAACUUCCAGACUUUCCGAGCAGUCUUACACUCCAUUAACACAUGAGUGACAUUCUCACUUUUACAAUGACAUCUUUGACAGGCUGGAUUCCCCACCACAUUUUUCCUCCAUAGAUUAUUGGCUAUUGGUAAUAGAUUCUGAGCAGCUCUCCACAUGAAAAUUUUUAUUUUUUCUGGAAUUUCAUUUGACUAAAUUACCUUCCAUUGAGUUUUAGAGCUAUCAGAGCACUCCGGAUUAUCUGAGAAUUUCAUUCUAACUGCCACCUGGUAUCCACUUCUUACUGAGUAACAGCCAUACUUAUCAAAGUGCCAAAUCAUCAGGUCUUCCUGGGGAGUUCUUGGCAGAGGGGUUCUUAGAAUCCUUUGUGCCACCUCUUCGGGAAAACAUUGCACAACCUUCUCCUCCAUCCACUGAUUUUUGUCAUCAAUAAAAUCAGCAACAACAACAUUUUCUGCUAAAUUUUGGUGAGGAACGUAGCUGGAACAUUCGAGUUUUUGCAUCCAAUUCCUGCUGGACACUGAGACCCGGUUUCCAUUACCUAUUCUCCAUCUUAAGCCUUUGUGCAACACUUGUCUCUCCCAUAAUAUACUUCUCCAAACAAAAGAGGGAUUUGACCCCAAUUUUGCCUCCAUAAAGUCAAUAUGCUUGAAGUACUUGGCUGUUAAAAUUUUUGACAUUAAAGCAUCAGGAUUAUGUAGGAUCCUCCACCCCUGUUUGGCGACAAGGGCUUGAUUAAAGCUUGAAAAGUCCCUAAAACCCAGACCACCCUUAAUCUUGGCCUGACACAAUUUCUCCCACCUUGCCCAAUGAAUCCUUCUAUGAGUUUCGGAUGAUCCCCACCAGAACCUUGCUACAGCCUUUUGUAUAUCAUCACACAGCCCUUGAGGAAUUUUAAAUACGCUCAUCGCAUAGGCAGGCACAGCUUUGAUGAGAAUUUCUUUUCCCCCACUUAAGAAACACUUAUUUUGCCAACUUGAUAGCUUGCUUAGCACUCUCAGUUUUAUGUCGUUGAAAAAACUAGUCUUUUUCCUCCCUAUCAUCGAUGGAAGUCCCAGAUACUUUUCAUGUUUUGAAACGAUAUUCAAAUCGAAAAUACUUUUGAUUUCCUCCCUUUGACCUGAACUUGUGCUGCUGCUAAAGAACAUAGAGGACUUCUCAAAAUUAAACACCUGUCCUGAGGCUGCUGCAUAGUUGUCAAAGAUCUUUCUUAAAUUUCUACAAUCGUUAAUUGAUGCCUUUGUAAAGACCAGACUAUCGUCGGCAAAGAGAAGGUGUGUGACUGAUAGAUCUCUGCUGAAUUUCAGACCAUUUAUGAGCUUUUGAUUUUCUACAUUCACUAUUAAGUUUGAAAACACCUUUGCACACAUAAUAAAAAGAUAAGGGGAGAGUGGGCAGCCUUGUCUCAAUCCUCUUUGAGGAUGGAUUAGGUCUUUUGCCACUCCAUUGAUUAACACUGAAAAACUUGUUGUAGUGAUACAAUUCAUGAUCAACUUCACCCAUUUUUCUAAAAAUCCAAGUUUUUGCAUUGUGCAUUUUACAAAUUCCCACUCAACCCUAUCAUAGGCUUUACUAAUAUCAAGUUUAAGAGCUACCAGCCCAUUUCUUUUACUCUUGCUUUGUCUAAUCUUAUUAAGACACUCGUAUCCUAUAAUAAGAUUAUUAGUAAUGAGCCUAUUGGGUACAAAAGCGCUUUGGGUCGGGGAGAUGAUAACAUGCAGAAUCUUCUUAAGCCUAUUAGCUAGCGUUUUAGCAAUAAUUCUAUAUAUAACAUUACACAAGCUAAUAGGUCUGAAAUCAGUCACUUUUCUAGGCUUUUGCACUUUGGGGAUCAAAGCUAAGUAUGUAUGAUUCAGGGGUGCAAUGUUACUGAUGGGUGUCGAAGCCAACAAAAAUAAAUUCCUACUCUAAAUAAAUUGUGUAUAGUAAUUGAGCAGGGUCGUGUCCACAGAGAUCGGUAGUUAUUUAAAUCCUUUUAAAACGUAAAACAUAAAAUGGGGGUUUUGUUGACAAUAAUAAAAAUCAAAUUAAAAUAACAAGAAUGCAAAUUAAAGUUGUAAUUCAAAUUGGAGAAAGCUCUGGUUGAAGGAAUUAACUCAGCUUGAUUCGACUACUGAUCAUUGAUUCAAAUAUAGAUUAUUAUUUCUCAUGAAUAGACCAGUUAUAGCUACCGAGACCCUCUAAUAGCCAAUCUCUCCUUAACUAGUCGAUAACCAAGGUACGACCGUUAGUUAUUUCCCUAAUCAAUAGACAACCCUAGAUACGAUCAUAGAAUUUAAUCAAUUGACAACCUGAAAAACCAGAGAGACCCAAAUCCUAAUCAACACAUAUGAUGAUUCAUUUAAAUUAGAUUGUUUAUUCUCACAACACAACUCUCUGUUAUGUUAUUUGUCACAAACAUUAAAUUCUUCAUACGAUGAAUCCUUUAAUUGACAAUAGAUUAAGUUGAUAAUUAAAUAGUGGCCAAUUACCUAAUUAACAAACAUAAUCAUGAAAAUAAUUCAGAGAAUAAACAAAUACCCAAAAAGCAAUAAAACAAUUAAAGCACAAGAAAGAUCUCACAGUAGUGAUGAAUCAAAGCUUCAUUAUCCUUCAACCAGAAAAAUAGGUUUAGUUCUUCAUAGAGAGAAGAGAAAAAUUAGAUCUAGGGUUUUCUUUCUUUUUCUUCAAUCUAAAAAUCCUUUUUUUCAUAAUAGAUUCCUCCCUUAAAUACUCUCUCUCUCUUCUCUUUUAGAAUUCUAUUUAAAAUAAAAUACUAAUAUUUGAAAUAUUAAAUUCUUAAUUACAAAAAUAACCAAAAAUACAAAACACGUUAAACUAAAAACUGCAGGUCCGCAGUUGACAGCACGCGCCCACGCCUUAUCAACAAAGUUCUUCUGACGCUCAUAAUUUCUCUAAGAGAACAAUCAUCCUUAAACAUCAUCUUAUAGCUCAAUUUUAUCACCAAUCAAUAGAAUUGCACCUACAAAAGUAAAACACAAAUAAAUCACUAUUAUUAAGUGCAAAACAUCGAUAUUAAGGGAAGUAAACAAUGCAAAACUAGUGCAUAAAUUGCACUCUAACAAAUUCCCCCACACCAAGAUGAUGCUUGUCCUCAAGCAUAUAACUCAAGACUAAUCCCAAAUCUCCACUCAAUUCUCAUCUCAACUCAUCCAAAAACAAUUUUAAGCAAGCAUACCUCAAGAAAUUAAGUCGUUCAACAUUCGAGAGACAAGGAUUUUAAAGCACAGAAUCUCAUAAGCUAGAAUAAAAACAUUCAAUCACCAAGAAGAUCCAUUCAAAAUUCAAGUGUAACAAGAUUUAAUAACCCUCUCAUUAACUUCACUCCAUGCACUCAAAGUGUUUAGGGUGUCAUUUAUCCACUCAAAUCAAAUCAAAGAAUGCUAUUACCAUAAGCUUGCUCAUAUAUCACAUCUCAAUCCACAAAACAUGAAUAAAAUGCAAAAAUCUAAGGGUCUUAAAAGGGUUGUAAUGGGGUUAAAUUGGUUAAAUGAAAAAGAAAGGUUUACGAAAGAAAAAGAGAUCAAAACGAGAAGAAUAAACUCAUUGAAUGAACUUAUGAUAUCAAAAUGCUUAUUUCUACUCAAGUCACCAAGAAUGUAAACACAUUUUUUUUUGUUUUUUUUUUGUGAUUUUUCUUUUUCUUCUUUUCUUUUUUUCUUCUUUUUUUUUCUUUUUUUUUCUUUUUUUUUUGUUCUUUUUUGUUUGUUUUUGAAUCAAACAAAAGAAACGAACCUUGCACAAUUUAAUUCAAGCAUAAUGCUUGUUGAUCUAAUUGAGAAACUUUAAUACAAGGUAGAAAAAGCAACAAAAUAUAUCCACACAAUGAGUCCAAAAAUCUCCUUAAAUUGAGGCUCAAAAAGAAGAAAAAUGGUUAAGUAGACGGAGAGAAUUAGAUGGGUAAUGGUUAAGGCUCAAACAAAGAUAGCAAAUAAAGGUGUUCGGGUAGAGAAAAAGGAAAAUGCGAGAAUAGAAAAAUGGUAAAUGGUUUGCCCUUAUCAUUUUAAUGUAUAAAAUCCCGUAAUGUGGCUUCAACAUGCAUAAUAAAGCAAGUUCUAGAAUAAACAAACUAGGAUUGAUAUUCACAUAACAAAAAUAAUUAGAGCAAAGUGGUUGCUCAUAGGCUCAAAUCCUCACAAAGUUGGUAAAUUUGCCAUAAAAUCAUGUACACUCUUCAAAUGAAUCAACCAUCAAUAGUGGUGUAGAAUGAGAAGAAGGCAUGAAUGAGAUAUAAAAGGAAAGGUAAGAAUGAUAAUAAGCGAGAAAGAUGUAUGUAGUAAAAAAUGAAAGAUAAAAUGUGAGUGAUGAAGGAGUAUGAAAAAAAAAUAGAUAUAAAUAAUUUGAGAUAGAUGGGAAAAGAGUAGUGAGAGAGAAAGGAAAAGAAAAUUAAUAAUAUAUGAAGCAUACUAACUCCAAAAUCAUUUAAGGAUGAGUAGAGUGAAAAAAAAAAAUAAGUAGAGUGAAAACAAUAAUUAUAGACAUCAAUAAUGCAAAAAUCCCUCCCCCACACUAAGAACUUACAUUGUCCCCAAUGUAAGAUAAUCAAAACUCAUAUAAAAAUUAAAGCGUAAGGAUAAAAGAUUAAAGGCAAAAACUUUCCUGAAUUGUGAGCUUUGAUCCUCAUAACGUCUAUGGGCUUGGCGGGAAUGGUGGGAUAAAUCCUACACUCUUGAAGUAUGCGGCCAAAUUCUGCUCCAUCUUGUCACGGAUUUCGAUUCACGCGGCUGGAAUGUAGGUCGUAGGCUGGUUGCGGACUAUUGCUGCUCGACUGGAGCUUGUGGGUACACGGCUGCUGGUUCAGUUGCGCGCGGAUGGGACUGAUGCUGUGAACUGGUGACGCUGGAUCUGCGUGCUGCGACUGUUGCUGCGCGCUGGGGGAUUGCUGGUGCACGCGCUGGUGACGCUUGUUGCGUUGCGUGCUCGGCUGGAGCUUGCUGCGUGGCUGUGUUGCUGCGGGACUGUUGCACGCGAGAGCUGGUUCUGAGUUGCGUUGCGGGGCGUGCUCGUUGCUGGUGCUUGCGCUGCCCGCGACUGAUGCUGCAUUCUCCGGCUGGCUGGUUUCCUGCUGGCGUGCUGCAAACGGCUAGAGAAGAAAACAAUUUCUGGAAAAUUAGGGAUUUUGUGAACAGUAAAAAUUUUUUUUUCAACAAUGAUUUUUUUUUGAUUUUUUUAAAUAAAUAAAAAAUAAAUAUAUAAAAGAAAGAAAUAAAUAAAAUUAAUUAAAAUUAAUUAAUUUUUUUUUUUUAGUGAUGAAUCACUUUGAGACAUUAAAAAUUUCAGAAGUACUUUUCUAAUAAGCACGUGGGCACGCCUUAAAACUAUUUUACUUUAAAAAUUACAGAAGUACUUAUUAGUUAAGACGUGGGCACGCCUUAUCAAAAAUUUUCUUCUGACCAAAAUAAGCAAACACAUUAUUUAAAAAAAAUCUGAAUCAAAAUUAAAAGAAGAUAUAACAAAAACCAAAAUAAAUAAAUCACUUGGGUUGCCUCCCAAAAAGCGCCUUUGUUUUAUGUCUUUGGCUAGACACAUUUAUGCAUCAAUCUCCAUAAUUUGGACUCUCGAGAGCCACAUCCUCCACAAUAUUCACCGAAAAACCUUCAUAAAAAGGUUUUAAGCGAUGACCAUUAACCUUAAGAACUCUGUCAGAGGUCGGACUCCGAAUCUUAACUGCACCAUGAGGAAAAACAUUAGUAACAAUAAAAGGUCCAACCCAGCAAGAACGUAAUUUACCCGGAAAAAGUUUAAGCUUAGAAUGAAAAAGAAGAACUUUUUGACCAACAGAGAACUCCUUUCUCAAAAUCAUUCUAUCAUGAAAUGUCUUCGUCUUUUCCCUGUAAAAAAUUUCCUGCGCUAUAGGGUUAAUAACAUCCACAGAAAAUACCGAAUCUUCCUCACUAGGAUAUUUCAUGGCAUCAUUCAUAUUGAAUUCUAUAACCUCUCCAUCAAACUCCAUAGUGAGAGUCCCUUUAUGUAUAUCCAUUUUAGUCCUAGCAGUCUUAAGAAAAGGUCUUCCUAGCAAAAUUGGGACAGAAUUAGAGGAGUUAUCAUCUUCCAUAUCAAGUACAUAAAAAUCAGCAGGAAAAACCAACUCAUUAACUUGUACUAAGACAUCUUCUAAUACCCCAUCAGGAUAUGCAUUAGACCUAUCAGCUAGUUGAAUUAUCACACCAGUUUCUUUUAAUGGACCAAUAUUCAAAGAUGAAUAAAUGGAACGAGGCAUGACAUUAAUAGAAGCUCCUAGAUCUAACAAAGCCUUUUCAACUCUAACACUACCAAUUUUACAAGGGAUAGUAAACAUACCUGGAUCCUUGCACUUAGGAGGUAGUUUCUUUUGGAGAACUGCUGAAACAUUCUCCCCCAUGUGAACUUUUUCAUCUCCUUUUAAUUUUCUCUUGGAGGUGCACAGUUCCUUAAGGACUUUAGCAUAUCGAGGUAUUUUUUUUAUAGCAUCUAAUAAAGGAAUAUUUACCUCAACCUUGCGAAAUGUCUCAAGGAUGUCUUUCUCUUGUUCCUCCUUCUUGGAUUUUGCAAAUCGGCUUGGAAAAGGAGGAGGUAUCACAAUAGGUAGGGGUUUCGCUUUGGUGGGUUGUGCAUCUUGAGAUUGAGGCAUCAAUUCAUUCUUCUCAAGCUCAUCUUCUACAUGCUUUGUCACUUUCUUACUAGGCUCUUGCAACUCCGUCCCACUUCUAAGGAUGACAACACUAACGUUUUGCUUUGGAUUCACCUCAGAUUGUGAAGGCAAUCUCCCUAAUACUUGAGACUCCAGACGGCUCACUGUAGUCGCCAAUUGACUCAUUUGGUUCUCCAAGUUCUGAAUGCUUGCUGUAGUUGCCUGCUGAAAUUGUUGAGUGUUAAUCGCAAGUGAUUUAACAAUUUCUUCAAGAGAUAUACCUGACUUGGAGUUUGGCUGUGGAGGUGCUGGUUGUCUUUGUGGAUACUGUUGUGGGAAUCCUGACGGCCUAACUCCAUAGCUGAAGUUGGGAUGAUCCUUCCAUCCCGGAUUGUAUGUUUGUGCAUAAGGAUCAUACCUCCUCUGAGGCAUGCCUGGAAAUCCUCCAACUGUAUUGGCUUGUUCAAUGGGUUCUUCUUGAAGUGUAGGACACAUAUCAGUUGAAUGACCCAUAUUGUAACAUAUACCACAAGUCUUCACCUGCUGCACAUUACCUACAACAAACUUUUCCACAAGAGAAGUAAGUUUAUCUAAACGUUGUUCAACAGAAGAAAUAUUUACCUCAUUCACCUUCCUUGAAGUGAGCUCUUGCCUGCUGCUAAAUUGUUGUUCAUUGGCAGCCAUAUUUGAUAUCAACUCCCUUGCUUGAGUAGGGGUCUUGUUCACCAACACGCCUCCACUAGAAGCAUCUAUCAUACUCCUAUCCAUCAAUGACAGUCAUUCGUAAAAAUAUUGAAUAAGAAGUUGAUCAGAAAUUUGAUGCUGAGGACAGCUGGCACACAAUUGUUUGAAUCGCUCCCAAUACUCAUAUAAAGUCUCCCCAGGAAGUUGUCUGAUCCCACAAAUAUCUUUUCUGAUGUUGGCAGCUCUUGAAGCAGGAAAGUACUUCUCAAGGAACUGCUUCUUCAAACCAUUCCACGUUGUAAUCGAUCCAGGAGGCAAGUAAUACAACCAGUCUUUAGCUAGCCCAUCUACAGAGAACGGAAAAGCACGCAACUUAAUCUGCUCUUCAGUCACACCUUGUGGUCUCAUACUUGAACACACAACAUGAAACUCCUUAAGAUGUUUAUGAGGAUCUUCACCUGCAAAACCAUGAAACUUGGGUAAUAAAUGAAUAAGACCAGACUUUAAUUCAAAAUUUACCUCCAAGUCUACAUAUUGAAUGCAGAGUGGUUGUUGAUUCAAGUCUGGUUCAGCUAACUCUCUAAGAGUUCUUUCUACAGGUGCAGGUCUAUCCAUCACUUGUUCUUCUGAAUCGCUAGAUGAUUCAACUAAAUUAGGCACCGUAUCUGUUUCAGAAAGCAAAGGUGACGAGGAUCGUUGCUUAGCUCGCUUCGUCUGCUGUCUCAGCUGGCGAGCUGUCUUCUCAAUUUCAGGAUCAAACGAAAGUGUACCUGUACGAGAAGAACGAACCAUACACCAAGUAAAACGUAAAAAGGAUUAAAUAAAUGACACCAAUCCCCGGCAACGGCGCCAAAAUUUGAUGGGUGUCGAAGCCAACAAAAAUAAAUUCCUACUCUAAAUAAAUUGUGUAUAGUAAUUGAGCAGGGUCGUGUCCACAGAGAUCGGUAGUUAUUUAAAUCAUUUUAAAACGUAAAACAUAAAAUGGGGGUUUUGUUGACAAUAAUAAAAAUCAAAUUAAAAUAACAAGAAUGCAAAUUAAAGUUGUAAUUCAAAUUGGAGAAAGCUCUGGUUGAAGGAAUUAACUCAGCUUGAUUCGACUACUGAUCAUUGAUUCAAAUAUAGAUUAUUAUUACUCAUGAAUAGACCGGUUAUAGCUACCGAGACCCUCUAAUAGCCAAUCUCUCCUUAACUAGUCGAUAACCAAGGUACGACCGUUAGUUAUUUCCCUAAUCAAUAGACAACCCUAGAUACGAUCAUAGAAUUUAAUCAAUUGACAACCUGAAAAACCAGAGAGACCCAAAUCCUAAUCAACACAUAUGAUGAUUCAUUUAAAUUAGAUUGUUUAUUCUCACAACACAACUCUCUGUUAUGUUAUUUGUCACAAACAUUAAAUUCUUCAUACGAUGAAUCAUUUAAUUGACAAUAGAUUAAGUUGAUAAUUAAAUAGUGGCCAAUUACCUAAUUAACAAACAUAAUCAUGAAAAUAAUUCAGAGAAUAAACAAAUACCCAAAAAGCAAUAAAACAAUUAAAGCACAAGAAAGAUCUCACAAUAGUGAUGAAUCAAAGCUUCAUUAUCCUUCAACCAGAAAAAUAAGUUUAGUUCUUCAUAGAGAGAAGAGAAAAAUUAGAUCUAGGGUUUUCUUUCUUUUUCUUCAAUCCAAAAAUCCUUUUUUUCAUAAUAGAUUCCUCCCUUAAAUACUCUCUCUCUCUUCUCUUUUAGAAUUCUAUUUAAAAUAAAAUACUAAUAUCUGAAAUAUUAAAUUCGUAAUUACAAAAAUAACCAAAAAUACAAAACACGUUAAACUAAAAACUGCAGGUCCGCAGUUGACAGCACGCGCCCACGCCUUAUCAACAAAGUUCUUCUGACGCUCAUAAUUUCUCUAAGAGAACAAUCAUCCUUAAACAUCAUCUUAUAGCUCAAUUUUAUCACCAAUCAAUAGAAUUGCACCUACAAAAGUAAAACACAAAUAAAUCACUAUUAUUAAGUGCAAAACAUCGAUAUUAAGGGAAGUAAACAAUGCAAAACUAGUGCAUAAAUUGCACUCUAACAGUUACCUCCCUCAUUUAAAACAUGUAGGCAUGUGGUGAUAACAUCUUGCUGCACAAAACCCCAAUGUUUCUGGAAGAAAGCUGCUAGAAGCCCGUCUGGUCCUGGUGCUUUUGUGGGGCACAUUUGAGCUAAGGCAUCAGCUACAUCUUCUUUUAUAAACGGCUGGUCCAUGAAACUCCUCAUCUCCCUUGUAACCUUGGUUGGCAGGUUUGAUAAAGCUAUGCUUAUCUGGCCUGAUGAUGGGUUUGUUGUAGUGAAGAUAUUAGUGAAAUAUUCACAUACCAUCCGCUCUACAUCAUCAACUUCUUCAAGCCAUUUGCCAUUCUCAUCUUCCAGCCCACUUAUCCGGUUCUUUUUCCUUCUCGCAGAGGCUUUCGAAUGAAAAAAUUUUGUGUUCUUAUCCCCCUCCCUCAACCAAUCCGCCCUCGAUCUUUGCCUCCAAUAAACUUCCUUGUCAAUAAGGAUAUUAUCAAUUUGAUUUUCUACUUUUGUAAUCUCCUCUCCAUUAACAGCAUGAUUGUACCCGAUUUUAAUGUCCUUCAGCUUGUUUUGCAACUGCUCCAGCUUCUUUUCUCUCCCACUAAAUUCUUCAUUGCUCCAAUUCUUUAAUUCAACCAAUGACAUCUUUGAUUUUUUCUUGAAGAUUUCAAUUGGAUUGCUACCAUUCUCAUAACUCACCUCCCUUCAUUCUUGCCUCACUAUCUCUCUGCACUUCUCGUACGAGCUCCACAUAUCUUCGUAAUGGACUCUUGGGAAAGUUCUUUUCAUAAAACGUUUUCCUUUCCUCUUUUCUACCACCUCCAUCAAGAUUGGACUAUGAUCUGAGCUCCAAGAAAUUAAAUUCCGCCCAGCCUUUUCAAGAUUGGACUAUGAUCUGAGUUCCAAGAAAUUAAAUUCCGCCCAGCCUUUUCUUGGAAGCUGUUUCCCCAAUUGCUGUUGCACAAAAAUCUGUCGAGCUUUUCUUCUAUAAUGUGAGGGCCAAACCGUCUAUUGGACCAAGUAAACAGGUACCCAAUACUUCCUAAAUCCUUUAAAUCACAAUCCCUAAUAGCUUCUUUAAACUCAUUCACCAUAUUAACCCUCUUAUCUCUUCCUCAUAAUUUCUCAUUUAAGUUCAACACCUCAUUGAAAUCUCCGAAACAAAGCCACGGCAGCAAAGAUAAAGUAGCUAACCUUCUUAAUAGCUCCCAAGUAUGUCUCUUCUAAUCUGAUUCUAGAAGGCCAUACACUCCCGUACACCUCCAAUAAUUGCCAUUUUCGUUACAAACCAUUACAUCCACAUGAUGUUUACUAAAAGACUUUAUCUCUACUGUUGUCCCUGGAUUCUACAACAUUGCCAACCCACCUCCCAAUCCUUCACGGCUAACUGAAAAACAAUUCUGAAAUUUCAUCUUACUUGCUUUCUCUUGCAUUUACUUCGACGUCAUCUUUGUUUCGCAAAGAAAUAAAAGUUGAGGCCUAUGCUCCUGCAAGAUUUGCUGGGCUUCUCGGAACGUUCGGUCUUGCCCCAGCCCCCGAACGUUCCAGCUUAUUAGCUUUAUGGCUGUCGGCGGGGCUGUCUUCCAGCCUCCGCCGAUAUCUUAGGAGCAGCAUUCUGAACCCCCUUUGAAGCAUCCCCGACUUCAUUUUUGAAAACUAGCUGAGUAACUGUUGUAGUAACUUCCUGAUGCUGUGAUGAAUGUUCAACGCCCUGCCAGCUAUUUAUUUUGCAUUUUUUUGUUUCCGGGUUCCCCACUCCAUAACACUGCUGGGCCUUUUUAAGUUUAUGAUUGCUUCAUUUAUCCUUGCUUUAUCUUCCAUUUUUCGGACUUAUAACUUCCAUUUCUUUUUCCUGGGCUUCAUUUUGUCCAAGCAAUUCCCAUUGUCCACUUUCUCAGCUUCAGUUUCCACAUGGGCCGAGCCCACCAUUACCUUUUGUUUGCCUCCCCAUUUUUUCCCAUCCCCCAAGUCAUCAACUUCUUCCCUCUCAAAAGUUCCCGCGUUUGCCAUUCCAGGAAACUUUGCUUUUUCUGAUUUAAGGCUUGCCUCUCUCUGCUCUUUCCCCUUUCCCCUCAUUUCUACUUGCCCAUUCGUAUCCCGAGGUACUGUAUCCCCAGCAUCUAGGCUGAAUUGCAUGCCUCAUUAAUGCUCAAUGUCUCUAAACUUUUCAAAAAAGAAGUGUCAUAUUUAAUUUGUAGACUUCAUUCAUACAUUUGAUGACAACACUAUUUCCUCUCUCUAGGUGAAGAAAGCAUCAGAACGACUCAAUAAGUGGCUCUUGAAGCCUUCUGAAGAAGAAUCCAACGGCAAUUAAACUCAACAAGUUAAGGUCCAAUAUUGCUUGAUGAUCCUAAUAAUCUCAAUCAUGCAUGUAUUUUCUCUGCCAAUAAACCGAUUACCGUUAACACCAAUAACAACUUCAGAUAAAAAUUUCUUUCUUUUUGUCUGUUGGCAAGAAGAGCCUGAUAAUGAGUCUGUGCAAAUGCAAUCUAAUAUUCUGAGGUUAAUUAAUUCAAGAAGUUGCAUCUUCAUAAGAAGUACAUUUAAUGUUGUGUUUAUUUGCUGGAGUGGGAGGAGAAGUGUGGAUUCCUUCCACUCCACUAUUUACUUGUUUAUUUAAGAAGGGGAGUAGGAGUUCCACUCCGUGGAUUCUACUCAUUUUUUGAGUGUGCAGUGAGAUUCCUACUCCCACUUCUUUUUUUUAGCAUUUCUUUAUUAAAUAUAAUAUAAUUAUAUUUAUUAAAAUAAAGUAAUGUCACAGUUACUUAAAAAUAUUAAUAUUAAAUUUAUUUGAAUAUAAUAUUAUUAUAUUUAGUGAAAAAUAAUAAUUUAUUUAAUCUAAGUUAAAUUAUUUUUAAAUAUUAUUAUUAUAUUCGUGGAGAACUAAUAAUAUUACUUUUCAUUUAUUUAAUUUUAAUAGUAUUAUAUUUAUUUAAUGUUAAUAAUUAAUAGUAAUAAAUAGUUAUUCUAAGAAAAUAUUAAUUUUGUACUAUAUUAUUAAUAAUAAUGUUUCAUGUAUUGCUCUUAUCAGGAAUUUGUAACUUACAUAAUUAAAAUUAAAAUUAAUAAAAAAAUUGUGAUUUAAAUAAUUAAGAAUAUUAUAAUAAUUAUCAAUUUACAUAAAUAAAAUUAAUAAUAAAAUAAACAGUUUAUUUUACAAGUAUUUUUUUAUUCACUUUGUAAUUACAAACCAACUCUUUAAAUAUGAGUAAAACUGUAAUUUGAAACAAUUUACUCACAACCCAAGACAAAAUAAAUACAUAAUGAGAUUCUAAUUCAUAUUCCACACUCUCAUUUUAGUAUAAGUAAACAACAAUAUUGCUCCCUGGGUUUAUCGUCUCAAGUUCAAUCUUCAAAUUUCUUGGCCAAGGCAAAGACAUAGCAAAUAGUAAGGGCAGGACAUUUCUUGCCCAUGGUUCAUUGCCGUUAUUUGUUUUUGGCACUUUCACUUGACCAUAAAAAGGCACCUACGCUCACAGCUUAAAAACUCAAAUUAUUUGUAUGUCACUGGUGGUUGAUGCCCUAAUACUUGGAGAGGAUUCAAUUUAAAUCCUUUUGCUGAGUUAUUUCCUCUAAUUAAACUCUCGACAUCUUCGAGCGUAUGAUAUGGUACAUAAGUGCAACCGAGCAUUCUUAAUAAACACUAAUUACUCAUUAAAUUUAUGGAAAAAUGCCAGAGUUGAGAUAUUUGCCAUCUCCAUAUGAUAAGUCUAUGUUGGUUCUAUUUUCUUUUUUUCUUUUUUACCCUAAAAUUGGAUUUUCAAUGCGCUGCAAGCUACAUUACAGAAUGAUGUACUACAUAACUGUCUAAUGUUUUUCGCUUCGCUUUUAUUAUUUCGGUCCCUAUAAUUUUUUCUUUCUUUCUUUCGAAUUACCCAUUAUGUCUCUUAAAGUUAAAUUUUGAUAUUUAAAUUUACUGUAAAAAAAUAAAUUAUAAUUUUAACAGGUAAAAUCUGUCACAUCUUUUGACAAACACAUUAGAUUAGACUAUCAAAAGUAUAUAUGAUAAUAAUAAAAAUAAGAAAAAUGUGUUUUUUUUUUCUAUGGUUAUUUACUUGUUUUAAGACUAUGGAUAUAAUGGGUUAUUGAAAAAUACUUACAUACAUAAGUAUAAUUUAGUGGUCAUUAGCGUUUACCAUAUAGUAAGCACCUGAAAAUGUAGCAGGACUUUGGGACAUCCUGUAAAAAGUAUUUAAAUUAUGAAUUAAUCAGACAAUGUCACCUAACACUGUCGCUCAUCAUUAGGUAAUUACUGCCUCCCAUUAUAUCAUUACUUCUCCAUAUAUAUUAAGAGUGUCAUAGGCAUAUACUAAUGAAAUCAAAUGUACUAUUUUGUAGCCUUAACAUCAUAGCUUGGGAGUUCAUGUUAGAUAUGCUUUGGCCUCGUAGCCUCAAUUGGGUAUGAAAGAUUUUGAAACAUUGAGUUUCUAAUGGCGUAUAUGCUUGGCAAACUCAAAUACUGAUGCUUUAUUGCAUACGCGCGAGCGCACACACACAAAACGUAUGUAUUUAUGUCCAGAGUUCGGGUUUGAAAUGAAUUGGGGAGAGGAAAUGCUAAAGCUGCAAAAUUUCCAUCAAAGUUGCCUUAAUUGCUUCCAUGUGUAGCAGAGUUUUCUAUUCGAUAAUUAAUAGGGUCCGCUUGUAAUACAGCGUUUGUAUCUCAUACAGCUGAAUUCAAUAUUUUAUUAAAAAAAAUGACAACCGUUAGAUAGAAGUAAAUACAUCCAAUGGUUAAUAUGUGUGAUAACUCAUUUUGGCGACCGAAUGUGGCAGUUAUUAUUUCAUCAAUUAACUUAACUAAAAAAUCACAGCCGUUGGAUUGUCUCUCUCUCCAUCAUAAUAAAAGCCUUUGCAUUCUCCCUCCUAUUGUUUUCUCCCACAUCCAGAAUUUUGGAUGAUAAGAACUUGUUAUUCAAGAGUAUUCACCACCCAUCACAGCAAAGAGCAAAGAUGUAGCCGAAGGAGUGCCGUUUAUUCAAGCUUACUCGAUCUGUCACUCUCACUUCAAUUCGUCGCUCAACUUCUCGAGGGCAUCUUCAGUUCGUCACUCACAGCUUCAAAUUUUCACUCUCGUCAAUCACCUCUCUUGCUGUACCUCUCUCUUAUGUCUCCCAACAAUUUCGGUGAGCUCUCUCUCUAAUUUAAUAUAUGAUAAAAAAUCUUAUCAUGUCAUUUAAAUAUGCUUGAAGUUUCAGUUUAGUUUAUUAUUAUUACUUGAAAUUUUGAGAUGAUUUCCAGGGAUUGAUAAUUGAAAGAUAAUUGGUAGGGCUUUUGUUUUUUUUGUUUUUUUAUCUUGAGAUUAUGUUUUUCACAAAAAGGAAAAAAAAAAUAGAGGUUGCACUAUCUAGCAUCAAGCAACUGCAAGUAAUGGGGUUUGUUUUGAUGAGCUACGAAUUGGGGCUUCUCAUUUUCUUGAAUUAUCUUCAAUAUAAGUGGAAAGGGAUUUCUUCUCUCCAAAAAAUUAUUGUAUAUUUCCUUUUAAAUUCUAGAUUGACAUGUAGCCGAUUUUUGAUGUUUGAAGGAUUUUAUUAAAGAAUGUGCUGCUGCCAGUGGCAUGAAUUAAUGUAGUCUCGCUAGUAUUCCUGAUUUGGGGUAAUGAUGUAAUUGAACAAUCAUAUUUCUAUUAUUCUUAUAUUUGAAUCCAGUGAUAUUGUGGUGGUUUUAUGAUAAUAUUCUAUCGUUUUGUGCCGCAAAUCAGCCAAUGAGUUGGGUAUGUGCUGGGUAUACGCUGUAUGGGGUUGUUGUUGAAUUUACUAGACCUUGGAUGUGAUUCUUGCCGUGUUUAUAAGAAAUAGACAAAUGUCUUUCUAUGGUAAUAGAAUUGUCUAAGUUGCGUUACGAUAAAUGUUAAGUAACUAUGCUUUGUAACCUUAAACCUUUAUUUGUAAGACUUGGUGUACUUGAUUGUGAAAGAAUGUUAAAUGUUGACUUAUUUUCAUUGGUGAAGAUAAGUGAAGUUAGGAAAGGUUUGUAAUCACUAUAACCGUAACAAUUUCUUGGGUAGACUUGUAAUAAUUUUAUUCAUGGCAUGUAAUUUGUUUUUAUCAGAGGGCAUGUUUGCUUGUAGUCUCAAAUCUAGGGUAAUAUUUAAAAUAAGUUCUGCAAUAUAUGCUUUGCUAUUUUUUAUUUUUUGUUUUUAUUUUAAUUGGUUUUAGUAUUACUUGGAGGGGAAUUCUGAUCUGCUGAAGUUUAUGAAGCUGAUGCAGCAAGCAGGCCUUUAUCUUAAUCUUACAAUUGGCCCUCACGAUUGUGGUAAGUGGAAUUUUGUGUAAGUUACAACAAUAUAAUUUUUUGAAAAGAGCCGACAAGACACUCUAUUUUCUUCUGUUUUUUUGGAAUGUUGAGCAAAACUUUUCUUUAUUCUCAGGGGCCCUGUUUUGCUGAAGUAUAUUCCAGGUAUCAAUCCCUCUGAUAUACCAUCCCUUUAUUAGGUGUUUAUAAUAAUUCAUGGGUUUUGUCAUAUUGGUUUCAAUGCAUUGGUUUUGAUAUUGGUUACAGCCCAUCAGCCCCUACUCCUCUUUCCCAGCAGCCUUCAAUGCUUUUUUUUUAUAAUUUUUUUUAAGCAUUGUACUUUGAUUCACUGUGAAAUUUGUUUGUAUGAUGCUAAGUUGAGGACACGAUAAUAGUCAUGAUUUUAUUGUAUGCAGCAAAGAUAAAUGUCCAUAAAAUUUUAUUUUGUUGAAAUAAUAAGAUUUUGCUAAUUUUGUAGUAAGAAAUGAGGGCUAUUGAUCCCUUCCGUUUAUUAUAUUCAAUUUUUUUUUCACUCUUUCAUUCAUUUAUUGUGAAGUGUGUUUAGGUAUUAGUCAUGGGCAAAGGUAAAGAUCUUUACUUUGGUAUUUUUGUCUUCUUGUGCUUCAUUGGUAUAAAUGAGGAAAAAAAGCCAAAAAUAAAAUAAAACUAUAAUAUUUGCAUGAAUUCCAUCAUCUAUGGUAUGUUGAAUAGAUUAAAAAGCAAGGAGUACAGUGAUGGAAUAGCAGGCGGGGGAACUAUUUUUUUUAAAAAAAAUAUAAUACAUAUUGAUGGAAUAAUUAUCCUUCCCUUAAUUAUCUAAAUUUUUUCUUUUGGAAGAAUACAAAUGGACAGUCAGCAACGAAAGCGUAAACGACAACCAGGGGGCUUACAGAAAAAAGGUGCUCCUAUUCUAAGAGCAAAUGGUCAGGACGCAGUUCCAACGUCUUCAACUUAUGGAUUUGUCUUACUUGUAAGUAGUCAUUGUGACUUACCUAUCGGUAAAUAAACACGCCGAUACCAGAUAACACUAAUUAGAUGUUAUGGUUUUGCAGCAUUGAAGAAGUUAAGCGGUUGAGAAGUGAAAAUUCAGAUUUGUCCGUUACGCUUGGGGUUAGUAUAUUCAUUAAAUGUAGCAUGUACAUCUAUUAUUUUGUAGGUUUUUUAUGUUUUAAAACAUAUGCAUUACCUUUUUUACAGUUACGAAAACAUAUUGGGAAAACCUACAAAGAACUUCCUCCCGAACAAAAGGCAAGGUACAAAAAGAGAGAUGAAAGGAUGGGUAAUUCGGGUAAUUCAAACUCACAUUCUGGUGACAAUGAAAUAGUGGAAACUAAGUGUGUACCUGAGCGGUUUUGUGCGCUGGUUAAGAGUUUAUCAGAAGAGAAGAAAAAAGCAAUAAGAGAAAUAGGAUUUGAAAGCCUGCUUGAACUCAGAUGUGGCAAGCUGAAGAGGAAGUUACGCCAUUGGUUAGUUAAUCAGUUUAAACCUGAAAGGAAUAUAAUUGAACUUCAUGGUCAGAAAUUAGAACUUUGUCCCAAAAUGUUUUCGAAAAUCAUGGGCGUAAAAGAUGGAGGUAUGGCCAUUAAGAUUAAUGGUACAAGUGAUCAUAUUGCUGAAGUGCGACGUAUUUUCCAACCAACAGUUAAAGGGAUUCGCAUCCGCACGCUCGAGGAACUAAUAGAGCAAUUAGAUGAAGCCAACAAGAUUUUCAAGGUUUGUGGAUAACUCAAUUACAGCACUUGUAAUUGCUUACAAUUGAUUGUGUUUUAAAUUAUGAAUCUUUGUGCAUAACCCCCGUUUAAUCUAUAGUAUUUGUAAUUGUAGUUGUAUGAAACACUUGAACUUAUUUUUAAAAAUGUGCACACUUAAGCUAUUUAUGUAGCUUAUUAAUGCUUGCAACCGUUCACGAUGUUGAUAUUCUUACAUAAAGUUUUUUGCAGGUUGCAUUUACCUUAUUUGCUAUAGCGACAUUGUUAUGUCCAAUAGGCAGUUAUAUUUCAACUUUGUUUCUUCAUCCCAUCAUGUUGUUCAUGCAGAUCUUUUAUCUCCAUAAUGUUGCAUAUGACAACAUUCAGCCCAAUAGGAAUAUACUUCCCAUCACAUUCUGGAACGAAUCAAGGAUCAAGAAGUUCAUGAAGUGGCUUAGAUCCAAAGGAGGGAUUGGAAGCGAUAAGGUAAUCUCUUCUUGUAGGGUGCUUAGUUGAAUUGAAAACAGAAUUAGUUGCAUCAUGCAGUAUAGGCAUAAAUUCAUUAUCUAUGUCAAUUCAUUCAUAAUUUGACUCCAAAUGGAGUAAUAGAUCACCAUUAAUUUUUGGUAAUCGAUUCACUUUUUUAAAUUUUCAAAUCUGUCGUCAAGCUGGUCUACCACAACAGCCAAAUGGUUUUGAUUGCGGCUACUAUGUGAUGAAGUAUAUGGAUAGUCCUUGUAUUGUUGUCCAUGACUCUUAUCAGGUUUGUACAGUUGUAUCUUAUUGGUGUAUAAUAUCUUUUCUGUAUUAGAUUAACAAAUAAGGAUUUAUAUCAGCAGGAUGAGGAUCGACUUUUUAAAAAAGGUUUUUUUUUUUUAACUUUUUCAGCAUGACUCGGAUCACACUCGCCUUCUUCUAGCUCUUUAUUUGGUGCAAUCUCCGCUUAACAAGAUUAGGUGUCGACUUAUUCAAGAAGCGCGCAAGUUAUAGGUUGACUGUGCAGUCUUUUUUUUUUUUUGUUUGCCGAACCAUUUUGUAGCAUUGUAGCAACGUUAGGGUAAAAGGUUGGCAAAUUUUUUGUGAUGCCACCCCAUUUGUUGGUAUUUUGUAUAGCAACUACUGUUGUUGUAGAAUCCGCGAGUUCACUAACCUGGGUUAGCUGAUGGGUGGCCCUCUUAUUUUUUGGCUGAGGGUGCUUAUUUUACAAACAUGUGUGUUCCGGCAAGAUUACAAUUACUGCGCAGGCGUACAGCAACUGUGAUGGCCCUAUUAUUUUUUGUAUGUGUGAGGGUGUUUAUUGAGUAAGAAAUUGUACAUGUAAUGGUUAAUCAAUUGAUGUGUACGCUUCUGUACAAGUUUUCUGUUUUUCUUGAUUUCAGUUUUUUCUUUUUGCUUGAUUUCAGUUUUUUCUUUUUUAAGUGCAAGAUUAAAUGGUGGACGGUUUGGAAUUGUUGUUUGGCUGUUGGGAAAUGAGAAAGGACAAUGAAAAACUAAACUCGACACCAAUUGGUUAUGUGGAAUAAAAUGAGUAUUACGUGUUUGUCCAACUAAAGGCCCCUUCGGUUUCUGAUCUUGAAAACCUUGUUCAAGAAUUUGAAAACAAGAUGGGAGAACAAUAUGUUCUUGUUAAACAAAUAAGCCUUUGGAUAGAUAGAUUUAAAGCACAUGUCAAAUAGUUUACCAUUUUUUAAAUGCUCGUUUUCUACACACCAAAGACUACAAUGUAUGUUUUUCGAAACUUAAGAAUUCUUCUCAAUUUUACGUUAAAUUAGCAUAAUUUUUCAUAAAUAAAUAUAACUAAAAAUAUUUUUCGUUCUGUUCAUUUGACCAAAAAUGCCUCAUUUGAUGCCUGGAGGGGUUGGAGACAACAGUGAAAUGGCUUAAAAUUUUUAGUUUUUUACUGGUUUUUAUAUUAAAUAGUUUGAAUAGAAAAUAUUGUUUAACAAUUUAAGUGUUGGUUCUUUCCUUCUCUUAAAAUUGUUGGCCUAAAUGGUUUUGAUGAUAACAAUUACAUGAAAAAACGAUAAUUUAGUAUAUUUAUAAUCUCAUAUUUAUUUAAAGGUAAACUUUCUACCCUAACUAAAAUCAAGCUCAAGGCAUAAAUGAUCAAUGAGAGCUAUAAAAAGGGUACGGCGAGUUAUAAAGAGGGUACCAACUCGAAUAAUUCACUUUUCCAUAUUCCUAAUGCUAAUACACUUUACUGUGUCCACGACUUUGUAUCUUAAAAGCUCAAGGCUUCCUUUCAUAAUCUCUAUAACAAAUUAUCAAUUUUCAUUGUAAAAGUUGUAUAUUUUACAAGGCAAAUUAUUUAAUCAAAAGGAGUAUUUGAAAAUUUACGGACCACAUCAACAAGAUUUCAGUUUUUUAGCUCCUUACGUGUUAUUUUUAAACGCUCAAAAAGGACCUAUACGAAAAUAAUUGAAUAUACUCGUUCAAAGUAUAAUUACAGAAAUUAGUGCUCAUGGGCACAAAGUUUGCAGCUUACCUCUUCCUGUGAAGCGGCUAACCGCUUGAAUUCACUUGCAUGCCAGAAACAUAGCAGCAACCCGCCUUCCAUACGCAGCUAGCCGCAUGUACAUCACUUUUUGUAACCCAUUCCAGAAACAUAGCGGCUACCCGCCUUCAUUUCGCGGCUAGCCGCAUGUGCUACGCUUUUGAUAACCCAUUCCCAAACAUAGCGGCUACCCUCCUUCCACUGUCUUCCUCUUCAAUUUUUUAGCGGCCUCUCUCCCCUCUCACUCUCGCUGAAAAUUGUGCACUGCUUACACAUUUUGUCUCCAAAUUCACUCUCCGAAACCAUUUUCCAUCCAUUUUACCUCAAUUAUCAACUCCCAAACUCUCAUUGCAUAUACACGCACGACUGCCUUGUGGGAGAAAAUGGAACGAAAGCUUCGAAUUAAUCCAACGAAGAAUUCAAAUUACUUGGAAUCUCAAUACAAAUAUUGGUACAUGUAGGCAUUUAGUAGGAAUAUUGAAUGCAAAAUCAGUGGACCAAUAAGUUGAAACAAGCAAACCAAAAACUGAGACAACUGAACUGAACCAAGAAAAUAUUUUAGAUAUUUAACCUACAUCAUUCAAUUUUAAUCCAAUUACUAGGAACACGGAACGCAAAACAUUUGCAACUGCAAUUGAAAAUACAUCAACCGAAAAAUGGAGAAACCACAACCGAAAAUAGUGAUCCACUUAACCAAAAAAAAAUUCUAAAAAACCUAGUAUGUAACCUUAUUAACUGGAAAUUUGACGACCGAAUAUGAAUAAUUAACGUAAAACUAGAGAAAACGCUAGUUCAAACACAUUUACCAUUAAAAAACCUGAUAUGUAACCUUAUUAAUUGGUAAUUUGAAAAUGGAAUAGGAAUAAUUAACGUAAAACUAGAGAAAACGUUACUUGAAACGCAUUAACCAUUAAUAGAGAAAUUAGAACGAAAACUUGGAACAGAUCCAAGGAAAAAUUCAAAUUACUUGGAAUAUGACAUUAUAUAUUGGUACUCGACGAACUUAGUAGGAAUACCAAAUGCAAAAUUUCUGAAUUAAUAAGUUGAAACUAUGAACCAAAAAAUGAAACAUAUUAACCAAAAUCCGAGACAAUCAAACCAAGAUAUAGGUUAAUGAUAUUUAACGCACGUAGUUGAAAUUUUACUGAAUUAACUGAAAUCAAGAACGCAAAGCCCGUGUAACUAUAAUUGAAAUACAGCAACCAAAAAUGGAGAAAGACCAACCAAAAUUGGUUACCAACGUAACCAAAAUAAAUUCCUACAAACCUCUAACCUACUACUUAACCUUCAGAACUAGAAUUUAAACGUAUUAGUUGGAAUAUUUAACGUAAAACAUAGGAGAAAACUUUAGCUGAAACACACUAACCAUUAAAAGAGAAAGUAGAACGUGAACUUGGAACGAUCCAACGAAAAAUUCAAAAUGACUUGGAAUAUCACAACAGAUUUUGGUACCUGACGAACUUACUACGAAUAUUAAACACAAAAUAAUUGAACCAAUAAGUUGAAACAUGUUAACAAAAAUGUGAGAAUUAUUUACCCCAAACCGAGACAAAUCAAACCAAGAAAAAUGUUAAUAAUAUUUAACCCAUGCAAUUGAAAUUUCGGCAAAUUAACUGAAAUCCAGAAUGUAAAACCUAUGAAAUUUUAAUUGAAAUACGACAACCACAAUUGGAGAAAGAGAAACCAAAAUUGGUGAUCCACAUAACCAAAAUAAAUUUCUAAAAACCAAACCUGGUACCAAACCUUAAUAACUGGAAUCUCAACGAGUUAAUUGGAAUAUUUAACGUAAAAUUUGAGAUAAUAUUAGUUGAAAUAUAUGAACGAUUGAGGGAGAAAGUAGAACGCAAAGUUGGAACAUAUCCAACAAAAAAUUCAAAUGACUUGGAAUCUAACAACAAAUAUUGGUACUUGAUGAAUUUACCAGAAAUAGCGAACGCAAAAUUAGUGAACCGAUAAGUUGAAACAUGUUAACCAAAAAGUGAAAAUUAUGAACCAAAACCGACACAAAUCUCACCAAGAAAAUUGUUAAUGAUAUUUAACCAAAAUAUUUAUAAAUUUGCCGAAUUAACUGGAAUAAGGAACGCAAACCCUGUGAAACAAUAAUUGAAAUAUAGCAACCAAAAAUGGAGAAAGACUAACCAAAAUUGGUUACCAACGUAACCACAAUAAAUAUCUACAAACCAAACCUGGUACUUAACCUUGGGAACUGGAAUUUAAACGCGUUAAUUAGAAUAUUUAACGUAAAACAGGAGAAAACGUUAGCUGAAACCCACUAACCAUUAAAAGAGAAAGUUGAACGCGAACUUAGAACAAAAAAUUCAAAAUGACUUGAAAUAUCACAACAGAUGUUGGCACCCGACGAAGUUACUAGGAAUAUUAAACGCAAAAUAAGUGAAUCAAUAAGUUGCAACAUGUUAACAAAAAUGUGAGAAUUAUUUACCUCAAACCGAGACAAAUCAAACCAAGAAAAAUGUUAAUGAUAUUUAACCCAUGCAAUUGAAAUUUUGGCAAAUUAACUGAAAUCCAGAACGUAAAACCUGUGAAAUUUUAAUUGAAAUACGGCAACCACCAUUGGAGAAAGAGCAACCAAAAUUGGUGAUCCACAUAACCAAAAUAAAUUUCUAGAAACCAAACCUGGUACCAAACCUUAAUAACUGAAAUCUCAACUAUUUAAUUGGAAUAUUUAACGUAAAACUUGAGAUAAUUUAGUUGAAAUAUAUGAACUAUUAAGAGAGAAAGUAGAACGAAAACUUGGAACAGUUCCAACGAAAAAUUCAAAUGACUUAGAAUCUAACAACAAAAAUUGGUACUUGAUGAAUUUAGCGGAAAUAACGAACGCAAAAGUAAGGGACCAAUAAGUUGAAAAAUAUGAAGCUAUUAAUGGAGAAUCAUUACCAAAACUUGGAACUGAUCAAACAAAAAAAUUAAUAUCGUUAUCUAACCUAUAAAAUUGGAAGCUUCACAAAUUAGUUGAAAUGUUAGACGUACAACUAGUGAAAUAAUAGUUGAAAUAUUAAAACCAAAUGUGGAGAAAGUUUUACCCAUUUUUGAAAUUAAUCUAAUAAGAAAUGAUUUUAUUUCGAAUUUAACCCAAAAUAUGCGUAUUGUACGACUUUAGUGAGAAUACUCAACGUAAAACUAGUGGAUCAAAAAGUGGAGAUAAGCAAACCAAUUUGUGAGAAAGUGUAAUCAAAAUUAGGUACGUGUUAAAUUAACUUGGAAUGUCACCAAAUAUAUUGAUAUUUAACCAAAAAAAUCGAGACAUACUUAUUUUAAUUGUUUUAACUUUUAUUCAAGCAAAAUAUAAUUUUUUUUCCCCUUAAAUAUUGUUUGUGUUCAAUAUUUACUAAAUUUCCUUGACUUUUUCCAUUUUAUUUUAUUUUUUCCGCAUUAAAAACUUUGUUUUUUAAAUUAUUAAAUAAACAACCGGUAAAAUACCGGUUGUUCAAGUUUUCUCAUUACUGUUGAGGCGGCUGUAUCACAAACAGCACUGUAUUAUAGGAAGACUCUCGAUAAUAAUGUGCUUAACGUUCCAUCAGAAAAAUUGUUUAUUUAUUUACAACCGAUGAAGUAUCGGAAUCUGUUGCAAGAUCACUCUCUGUCCCCUUAGCUUUCUCAAUGUUACUUAGCGGUGUCCAGCCUGUACUCUCACGUAAGUUGAUAAUGUAUGAUAUAUAACAUAUUUUUCAUAAUGAUUAUUUCGACAAGAAUAGUGAAAGUAUUGUCGAUUUAUUACAAAUAAGUCACCUUAUUUUUUAUUAUUUACAAAUUAACACUUAAGAGUUGAUGAAGACACAUCUCCCAACAAUAAUAGCAAACGGAGCCUUAGGUGGCGUUUGUUUUUUAACUUAAUAACUUAAAGUGACUUAACUUAAUUAAUUAAGUUAAUUAGAUGUGUUUGUUUUUAUAACUUAAUGAGACUUAUUAAAUAAUUUUGACUUAAUAAAAUAAGCUAAUUUUUUUGGCUUUUUACUUAAUGGAGAAAUCUAAAUUAAGUCAAUUACUUACUAAUGUCAAAAAUAUCUCUACUUUAUAAUUUAUUUUUCAUGUCUAUCCCAAAACUCACCCAUAGACAUUUACCCCACAUAAAAAUAUCCAUGUUUUUUCUUUCUUAUAUUAUAUACGAUAAAAUUUGAAAUUUAUGGUAUUUUAUAUAUUAAAAUUCUAAAAUAAUUAUGUAUUCACUUGAAUAUAGUUUUACUUAUAAAUGUUAAAAUAUUGUGGUAUUUAAUAUAUUAUUUAUUUGACAUUUAAAUUUAAUAAGGAUACAAAUGUAAAAGUAUAUAUUUUCAGCUUUUUAAGUUGAAAAAAACAAAUAAUUUAAUACUUAUUUUUCGAGAUUCAGACGAAAAAACAAACAUAUUAUUCAGAUUCAAAUAUUCAGAUCUAUUCAGAAUUCAUAUUAAUUCAGGUCUAUUCAGAUUAAAAAAAUAAUAAUAAUAAACGUCACCUUAGUCUAUUGUAUCAUGCAUAUAUUGAAUUAAUUUGCCAAUGUAUUUAGUAGGGGCUGCUAUUGGUGCCGGUUGGCAAAGUAUAGUAGAAUAUAUUAACAUUUGCUGCUAUUAUGUGAUUGGUACCUGUAGGAGUUUUUCAUGUACGUGGCCAAUGUCAAAGUUAAGGUAUCAAUUCAUCUUUGUAUUUCUUACUUUUCAUCUUUUUCCCUCUUGAUAAAGAACUUCAUAGAUUUAAAUUUAGCAUCUUUUACGGUGGAUAUGUAAUUUGAUAUUUAUGGUUAAUAUAGCUCUUAUGUUUUUUUUAAUUAUUUUUUUAUGGGUAAAUGCUUUUUUAGUCGCGACUGUUUGAGCUAAUUAAAUUUUACUUAUUGCCUGUUAGGUUUGUUUGAAUUUUUAAGUUAUAUCAAAAUGAAAUAUUAUUUUAUCAGACCCUUUUGAGAUUACUUUAGAGAGACUUAAAAAUAAUUUUGAAAAGAUAGAAACUAAUUUUGGUGUUUGAUAAUUUUUUUUAAACUACUUUUGAAAAACUUACUUUACCCCAUAGCAGAGUUUGAAAAGUAGGGAAGAGUAACUUUUUAAAAUUUAAUUUUGAAAAUGAGUUUUAUAUUUAAUGUGAUUCCAUAUAUAUCCUCACAUAUAUAAAAAUCGAAAACUAUCUUUAUUCAAUUGCGAAAUAAAAUCAUUAAAUUUAAAGAGAUUAUUAUUAUUAUUAUUAUCAAUUAUAUUGAAUAACAAAAUAAAAAAAUAAUUAAUACAAAAAAAUAUUUAUUUUUGUUAUUAAUUAUUAUAUAUACAAAAUAAAUAUAUAUAUAUACAUGACAAUAAAUUUAUAAAAAAAAAUUAUUGAACAUAAUAUCUAUUUGAGUCAUUUGCAUGUAUUUUUAUAGCAGUUUAAUUGUAAGAUUCAUCGAACAUAUAUGAUUGGUUUAAAAACUCAUAACACCUUUAAAAAUAAAUUUUGCCAAGUAUUAAAAUGAUGAUCUAUACAACUGAUUAUUUUUACAGCACAACUAGCAUUAAUUAUUUUAAAAGGUACACUUAUUACUAAACUAGCCCUAAAUCCAACAAUUAUGAAAGUAAUGAUAGAGAAUUUUGGAUAAAUUUUAAAAAUACAGGAAUUAACUAGGUAAUUAACCCAAUCCAAAAAGACUAAACAAACUUUUACCCUAUUUUGAUCAUGUUGCCUUACUUUGGAGUACAUGGCACGGCUUGUUGUAGUUCAUUUUUCAAAAACUAGAUGAAUAUCUUCAUUCAAUUAAUUUGCACAUGGUAUAUGGAUUGGAAUGCUGCUUGGAGUAGUAAACCAAUCAUCGUGCUUGGCUAUGUUCCAAGAAAACCGACUGGGACAAUGAGGUAAAUAUUUAAAUUAAAUGAAGUUUCAUUCUAUGAUACAUUAAUACUGUAAUUAAACAUGAAUUGUCCAAAUGAUACAUAAGAUAUAUAAAUUCAACAGAAAAAUUAUAAAUCAAAAUAAGUAUAAAAUAAAACAUAAAUUAUGUAAAUGUAAUAUAAGACUUAUAAAUGAAAGGUAAAACAAGUAAAUUAAUAUAAGAAUGGUAAAUUGGUGUUCUACUAGUAAACAAAAUAAAAACUUACAAAUGAAACAUAAAAUUUGUAAAUCAACGUUAAGUGUAAAAUAGAACAUAAAUUGUCUAAAUAAAACAUAAGAUUUCUAAAUAAAAGGUAAAACAAGUAAAUCAACAUGAAAAUGAUAAAUUAAUGUAUCAAUAGUAAACAAAAGAAACUUACAAAUAUAACAUAAAACUUAAAAAUUAAUAAUAAGUGUAAAAUAAAACAUAAGACUUAUAAAUGAAAAGUAAAAUAAGUAAACUGAUAUAGGAAUGGCAAAUUGGUGUAUUAUUGGUAAACAAAAUAAAAAAUUACAAGUCUAUUAGAUCUAAUUUUAUUGAUAUAUCGUAUAUGUCUAAUAAGAAUUCUUUUUAUUUUGUUUUGCCUUGAUCCACAUCAAGAAAAAUGAUUUUACAUAAUUAACCUAUAUAGUAAACAAAUACUUUAUAUGAUAGAAAAUUGAAAAAAAAGUUUAUAAAGUCACGAAUAUAGAAUUGAAUUCCAAUUGCUUUCGAUACAGUUUUUUUUUUCAAUUGAUAGGUGAUUUUUUUUUAUUUGCCUAAGUACACUAAAUGAAUAAAUUACUGUUUUUGGAGAUAAAAUAAAAAUAGUAGGACAACAAAAAAAAAUGAACUACUGACAACAAAAAAUAAAUUACUGUUUUUUUUUUCAAUUGACAGUUUUUUUUUAUUUGCUUAAUUGUUCCCUUUUUUUACACACACACACACAAAAUUGAAAACAUAACUGUUCGAACGUGUUAAAUCUCAAAAUGUUCGGCUCUAAAUUGCAUAAAAAAUCUAAAUUUGCGAGACCUAAAAUACCGUUCACGUAAACAAAACGAUAUUAUUAAUAAUGCAAAAUCAUUUAUUCAUGAACAGGAUCUCAGCCAUGUGAUACAAGCCCAUUUCAUCUUGUACCUAUAAAAUCUUAAAUAUAUAUGCAUAUAUAAAAAAUUGUGGAAGGGUUAACUGAAGGAUUGACUGGCGGUAUGAUGAGCUGCCAAAUACUAUUAGACAAGGAACAAAAUUCUGUGUUUCAUGAAAAUUAAGAAGUAGAUUUUUAGAAAGAUUCUAACUAGCUUAUCAUUUUUAUCUGUAAUCUCAAAACAAUCAUUUUUUGUGAACUCAGUUGUGAAUAAAUAAAUGAAAUAAGAGAAUGAACCAUCAGAUUUACUGAUUGGAACUAAUUAAUGAUGAUUUUGGCUUAAAUGCAAACCGAAUGCCUUUGCCCAUUAUCAACUUGCAGAAAACAUACUCAUUGAAGUUCAAGAGAAUAAAGAACACGAGAAACUGAACAAUACAAAUAUAUACGAAUAAAGGAUUAAAGUAAAUGGAGAAAAGUUGUUACAGUUACAAUACAAAUCGAAGUCGUAAUCCAAUUAUUUAUGACAAGAGAUCAUCCAAGUCCAGCAUCAAGCCGAAUGAACCGCGCACAUCCCCUAUUGGUUCUUGAAGUAAGUCUUCCAGAAAAGAAUAGUCUUCCUCAGUUAACUCAGGUAGUCCAUCACUGUCUUCGUGUUGCACCAAUGAUUCAGGCACCGCCAUGGGCACUUCAACGAUACUCUCCGAAUGACAAUGAUAAUUCUCUCCAGUUUCUCUACCCUGAAGCAUGUUGUUCCCGGAGUCAUAUUGUUGGUUACAUAUCAUCUGAUCAAAAUGACUCAUCAUCAUCUCCAUGGAUGGCUCGUAAACACUGCUUGCAAGCCCCAUUCCACCAGCUAAGCUCUGCUCACUCAUCAUGUCAGAACUGCUGCAGCUUACUUCUUGAUAAUCCAUAUAGUUCUGGUGUUGAUUCUGUUGGUGGGUCAACAGCCUAUCCAUCUCAAUAUCUGCUACUUGUUCGGAUUGAUUGCUGUUGUCUUGAAAACCCUUCAGCUUUCUUUUCUUUGCAGAACCGUAAUUCAUAAUAUCAUGGCCAGUUGGUUGAUUCUUUCGGAGCCUGCAAAGCACAUAAUUGGUAGCUUGAUUCUUGGGCAUAUGUAGAGUGUACUCGUGCAUGAUCCAAGCCCCGUGAUCCUCACAACCUUGUUUCUCGUAACGAAACCUCUUCUUGGAGCCGAUUUUGAUUUUGGAUUGGCCGAUUACUAUAUCUUUACCAGCAUCCUCCCCUUGCCAAGUACCGCCAGAAGAUCCCACUUUGCGGUCGAUUCUGGAACCCUUGGAAGACUUUUUCUUCAACUGGGUGAAGAAAUAAAGAUCCUCAUCAGCAUUUAAAAAGGGUCCUCCAUGAGAAUCCCAAAUCUCAGAGGGUUUUUCCUCGUAAAGAUUACAAUCCAUGAUGAAAUACUCAGCAAGAGGGAUGAAUAUUCCCGAAACUUUCUUCUUGAGAUAAUGUUCGAUGAGUUCUUCAUCGGAUGGUCUGAACUGGAAGCCAUGGGGAAGAAAGGGUCCGUGUUCUUGCAUUUUGUUUGAGGAGAAGAGGGUUAAUUGAAUGGUGGGUUGGUUGAUUGAUGAUUGAUGGAGGAAAGUUUUUCGGCGAAUUAUUGAAAACAAAGAACACGGAAGCCGAGAGAGAAGCAAAGAUAGGUUUAGAGAAUUAGAGCAGAAGUGGUAAGAAGCGGGGGUGUUAAAGCUUCCUUAUAACAUAUGGAGGAGUGAAGUGACGUAGCUUGGAUUACAAGUAACAAUUUCCUAGAGGAGUGAAGUGACCUAGCUUGGAUUACAAGUAACAAUUUCCUAAGGCAACUCCGAGAAACGCGGGUGAAUUUGCGAGUUGGGUAAAAAGUCCUUACAUUUAAUAACCUUCCUAAAUCGGACAAAUUCAAGAAGUCGUUGAGCUUGAGGCUGACGCCAAGUCGGUCUUUAGAAAAAAAAAAAUCUCUUUUUUUUUAAUAUUUCGUGAUUAUUAUUAUUAUUAUUAUUAUUAUUCUGAAAAAAUAAUGAAAACUCAGAAGUCCCCUAUGAAAUCAUAAAAUGCACAAAUGUUAAAAUGCGGUUCUUCCUUUGCUAUUUGCUAAACCCUAACCCUAACCCUAACCCCCAGUUUGUUUCCACUCGAGAUUAGAUAUUUGGUGUUGUAAGAAGUUCUGUGAGUGGAAUUAGCUAAUCAUGCAACUAUAGGAUUUUAAUUCCCCCGUGUAGUGCUGAAAUUUCGGUCUUGUGCACCUCUCCAACUAAUCACCACGUCUGUAUUGUAAAUAGACGCUUACGAAUAAUCCAGCCAAAAUAAUAGGAAUUAGACAUAUGGCCAUUCCAAAUAGAAAGAAUCAUAUUUUUUUUAACUCUUUUUUCCAUUGCUACUGUGAAAUAAAAUUACUAGAUUUCAGAUAAGAUUUCAAAUAAUAAUGGAUUGGUGUUAAUUAAAUACUAUUUAUAUAUCAAGAUUAUUUAAAGCUAAUUUGAAAAUAUUCGUAACCUAAUUUUUGUUUUUUUUAAAGGAAAAAAAAGGUCAAACUUUUUAAGUAUUAUUUGGAAUUUUUUAUUUAUAUAAUGUGAGUAAUAAAUAAUUUUAAAUGUUGUAAAAUUUAUCCAUAAUAUUUAAGACAUAUAGUAUUAGUCUUUAAAACAUUAAAUGAUUAUUUACAAAUGAGAUCUAAAAGAGAUUUCGGAUCUUGAUAAUUGAAAAAAAAUGAUCCUGAAACCAAAUUAGUUCAACAAACAUAUAACUUUCUAUGAUACCAACUAUAUAAUUUGCAAUGUUACAGAGAUUAUGGCAGCAACAGUUCAAAUAAACAACCUCUACAGCUGAUGUUUUUACUUCACAAUUCAAAAUAUGCAAAUUUGAUCAUCUACUUAUCUAUCUAUGCAACAGAUUGUAUGCGGGUAAAUCUUGUACACAAGAAAUAUCUUCGAGUUUAAGCUCGCGCUCUAAUUGUGCUCUUGUAGACUUCAAUACAUCCUGAAAAAAAAAAUCAUAUAACAACAAUUAAGCCUAAAUCAUGGUUCAUGAAUAUAUAUAUAUAUAUAAAGCGGAGGAUGCUAGGUUAAGUUUACGUUAAAUUCCAUAUAUGAAGCCCGUUUUGCAAGCCAUUGAGCAUCCAUCAUUUGAAAGGCUACACAAUAAAGGUUGUCGAAUGCCAUUUCAUCUUUCUCAAGCAGUUCUAGAAAGCGGAUACCAGCUGAAGAAGAUGGCUUUCCUGCACGUAAAAUUGAACAAUAUGAAGACACCAAGUGGAAAUGCAGAAUGUAGCACAAAGUUAAGCGUGUUUAAUAAAAUAUGGCUGGACAGAUGUUGGAUGAGCAAGUUGAUUUCUUAAGGGGACGCUUGGAACCAAGGCUCCUCAUGGUUGACUGGGGUGGCUUUGCCGUUUCCCAGCUUUUCAGGAUCGAGGAGUGAACCGCAACGAUUACAAUAAAUGUUACUUAGUCAGAACUUUAAUUACCUGAUUGAAGAUCCAACAUCUGUAUUAACAUAAAAGAAAUGUUGAUGCCAGCAACAGCAAAGGGAUACUCCCAUUCUGCUCUUGUGCCGUCUUGUUUGUGUAACAAUCUCUGAAAAGAGUCCUGUUGAAUAAGACCAAAUUACUAACGAUCAAAUUUAAUUUCCUUGUAAGGGCAACCACCACCAAAGUCCUCACUUUCCUCUUGGUUAAUGUAAAUAACAAUAGAAAAGUUCAGAAACCAAAAAUGGGAACAAGUACAACCCCAUACAAUUAAUAGGCUUCUACAAGUAUUGAACAUUAGCAGAAUAUUAGGUAUGAUUCCAAAAUAAAAAAAUAAGCAUUCACAAAGUUUAACAGAAUCUUAGAAAUUAAAACAUGACUACAACUUUUGCUGUAACCCUAUUGGUGGCAAUGCUUUACCGAACUUUUAAAGCUGAUACAAGAAGAUGGGGAGAAAGGACAAGGAAAAGAAAAAUUCUUUACCAGAUCAAAAUAUUUGAGUGUAGCUACCAAAUAUAAAUAUCUUCUCAUAGCUAGCAAAGUGAAGGCAAAAGUAUAUUUACCAGAAUUUGCUGGCAGCCAAACCAAUGAACCUUCUUUAAUGACACAAGGGUUAACACCAAUCAAUAUAAUUUGAAUUUCAAUCAGGAUAUCUGAACUUUCGCCACUCAAAAAUGUCUACUGCUAUUUUUUUUAGUGUUUCGAAAAAAUUUUCAUGCAGUCAUAUUCCCCAAUCACAUAAUCUGAGAACUGUAAUGGCUGACCAAGAGCUUCAGAGAAAGAAUGUUUCUUUUCCAUUGCAGUUCAGUUUUUUUAAUGAGUUUCAAUGCUUUCCAGUCACUCUCUAGCUUCUAUAAGAAGAUGUGUUAUAAUGCAUGGUGUCAUCUGUUCACAAGGAAUAUAAUUCUCUAAAUCUAUAAAUAGUUGCUUCAGUCUUCUCUUGUUCUGAUAUCUGAAUUUGAAAGUGCAGUUGGGCAUGGCUAGUGCAUUAGAGACUCUCUGUGGGCAAGCUUAUGGGGUGAAACAAUACCACAUGCUAGUAAUAUAUCUUCAAAGAUCGUGGAUAGUCUUAACCAUUUGUGCUAUCCUUCUCUUACCUCUGUUCUUCUUCACUACACCAAUUUUGGUGGCUUUGGGCCAAGAAGAAAAUAUUGCUGAAGUGGCGGGAACUAUUUCUCUCAUUCUAAUCCCUGUGUUGUUCGCCUUCAUCGUAUCCUUUACCUGCCAAAUGUACCUACAAGCCCAGAGCAGAAACAUGAUUAUCUCCUACUUGGCGGCAUGUUCAUUUUUGCUUCAUCUCUUUCUUUCGUGGCUUUUUACCAUGAAAUUGAAUUUUGGACUCCCUGGAGCAUUGGGAUCAACAAUUCUGGCAUACUGGAUUCCAAACUAGGGUCAACUUCUGUUUGUUAUAUGUGGAGGGUGCCCUCAAACAUGGAAGGGUUUCUCAUUUGCCGCUUUCAAGGAUCUCUGGCCUGUAGUAAAACUUUCCUUGUCGUCUGGUGCCAUGCUAUGGUGAGGUUCUUGUCUAAUUGUGGCCUUGCAUAAAUUUAGGCAGUAAAAGAUUGUGCAUUUUAUAAAUUCUAAUUGGCUUAACUGGGAAUCGGCAGAUAAGAGUCUAGGGCUUACAUCUGAAUCUAUAUCAUUUCAUAUGUGUUUGUUACUAUUAUUAGUUUCGAGUGGGAUCUUUCCUCAUUUUGUUUUUGGCCAUGUUUCAGCCUUUCUUGGUUCUUCCCUUUUGUUAAGAUCAUUGAUUGCUUCAGUUUGUGUUACUGAGUGGCAAUAUCAUAUAUUCUUUCUUUAAUUGGGUUGUGGGGGCAGGGAAAUGGUGAAUUUUAUAUUAUGAUAUGAAUCCCUGAUAAAAAGUACUUGUUUGUGGUCUACAGACAACAAUGAUGUUAAUAUAACAUCGCUGAGGAACAAUGAUGUUAAUCUAGUAUUUGCUGAUUAACUGCCAUAUUUAUGCUUUCCUGUAACUCAACUAUGUGGGGAUUUUAACUCAGCAUUAUGUUAUACUUGACAGUCUCGAGCUCCGGUACAACACAGUCUUGGUUCUUUUNNNNNNNNNNNNNNNNNNNNNNNNNNNNNNNNNNNNNNNNNNNNNNNNNNNNNNNNNNNNNNNNNNNNNNNNNNNNNNNNNNNNNNNNNNNNNNNNNNNNUAUAUGUACGAUAAAAUUGUAUUGGACCCAUAAAAUAUUCAAUAUUUUAUAAGGUUUUUCUUUUAGAUUUUUUUUAGAAAUGAAAUAAUAAAGAAAGUUUGAAGAGAGGAAUACGAUUAUUAAGACUAAAAGAGUGAGAAAGUUAUUAAAAAUUAUAAAAUUUAUAAAUGAUAAUAGCAUUUAUUUAAAAAAAAUACUUUUUACAUUAAAUAAAUUAUAAUUAAAAAAAAGAUUUUAAAAGAAUUUUGGAGGGGUGCUAAUAGUCCCACUCCUUUGUUUUAUGCUUCAGCGUCUCUUACACAAUGUGAAAGGAAAAUCGUCCUAAUUUCAUUUAAAAAAAAAAAAAGCGGAAAAAAGUGGAAAAAUAAACUAUUUGGAAAAAUGAGACGUGGCAUUUGAAAAUGGGAACCCUUAUCUUUCAAGUUUCAAACCUAGUUAAUUAAUACUUGAGGAUGAGUUUUUGUCCUGCACGGCUGGACCCCAAGUCAAUCUGUACGACAUCAAUUCUCGUGACGUCUGAUUUGAUGACAAAUGAAUAACAAGAGCUCCUGAUAGCUUGCACAAAAAGUGGGGUACCCUGAUUUCGUUAUCAAACUUAUUAUGUCACCUUAAUUCUGGUACGAAUUGUCGUCCCCAGUGAGUUAACUAGUUCGUUACCCAGCGAACCCACUCUCUUGUUCUUAAUCGCACAAGUUUUUGUCUUAAAAUGUAUAUCUAUAACUACAAAUGUAGAGAGAGAGAGAGAGAGAGACGUGUCAAAUUAUCAAUAAGAGAGAAACGUGUCAAAUUAUUCUUCAGAGCUUAUGGGCUCCACUUCCCCAAUAACAAUUUGACACGUGUGUAAUUGCCCCAACUACAUACUAUUCAAUUCUAUGUGAUGUAUCCAUAUAAUAAUUUUAUAACACUAGUUAUAAAUAAUUUUUCGGUUCUAUAAAAUAAAACUAUUGUGACUCCACGUAAUAAAAAAAAAGAUUAUUAUUACUUUUCAGAUAAUUUUUCUGUAGCAUAUCAAUUUGCACAUUAUAUUAGAUUAGAGUGUAUAAAUUAAUUUCCAUAAAAUUAUUUGUAACUCUAUCGUUAUUGUUUUAUGAUAAGAAAAAAAUAAUAAAUAAUUUUCUUAUUACGAAUGGAUUUUUUCAAUCAGGAAUUCUUAAACUUUAAUUUUAAGUUAUGAUCUGUAAUUUAAUAUUGCAUAAAUUUAUAAAUAAUGCGCUGGCGCUACCACAUUCAAUUUUGAAUAUUUUAUUAUGAAUCAAAUAGGACCAAUAACUCAAGACUUUAUUAAAACUUGCAGUUAAAUUAGCCCCAUCGGUCUGUUAUUAAACCAACACCAUUAAUUUCUUGAUUAGGAAAGAUCACAAUUAACAAAAAAAUAAUUUUUUUUUCAUGACUUGUGAAUAUGGUCGUCGUGAGUCGUGACCAAGGGUACCGCUACCCACGCUUUGGGUAAUGUCGGGCGGGAUGAUAAAUUUUAUUUAUUUUUAGUGCAUACUAUUUUGUGGACCCGAGGACACCUCACAAAGGCCAAACACGUGUAAAUUUCUUGUCAAAAUUAAUAUUUGAAAAAGAUGGCACCCAAAGGUCGUCUGACUUUAUGACGGUCCCAAUAAAGAGAAAAAAAACAAGGAACUUUUUUUGACAAAAGAUUGUAAAAGAAAAAGAGUGAAAAAAAAAGAUUAUUUAUGUAAUUCAUUUUUUUCUAUUAAUAAAAAGAAGUGGCAACAAAAAAGAAAAAUUGGAAAUUUUUUUUUGAGCUUAUGAUAAUUUUACAAAUAUAUUAUAAUUUGAAAUCCGGCAAGAUGAGUUAAUAAAAAAAAAAUUAUUUAUUUUUUGGUUUGAAGCACGAGGUGGUCCUGAGUGGGCUCCAACUGUGGGAAACACCUUUAAGCCCGUACCACAAUUCAGACUAAUUCGCGCUCGCACCGGGUCGGCCCAUAAGGGGUAAAGUACUAGCCAAAGUGGUGACUCCAUACGAGAGCGGGACUUGAACCCCUGACCUCUCUUAAGGAGUGAGAGUGCCGAACCACUCACACCAACCAACUUUGGUUAAUAAAAAAAAAAUUAUUGAUAAUUCACGUGUGAGACAAUUUCAGAAUUUUAUAAUUUUUAUGAAUAGUUUUCUAAAUUAUGGAUUCGUUAAGGAGUAUCAAUCAGGGUAUUAUUACAUUAUUGUCUUAAAACAAUUUUGUUGUCUGAUUGAUGAAGGGUUGCAGCAUUCACAAAGCUACGUGGAGUUAGAUGAAACCAAUGGUUUCAACUACCCCUGCAACUUGGAUCCUGCUGACUGCUGAGCAUUGGAAAAUGGCAAAAUACAAAAGCAUUAACAACAUGUAGAGUGGCUGAAUAACAUGUGCGUGCAAUGAAUCCACUUGGUUUACUUAUUUUAGCUUAGCUGGCUGACCAGUUUUCUGUUUCUUAUAUUUUCUUUGCGGAAGAAAAGCAAGGCCUUUUGAGAGCUCCCUUUGCACUAUUUCUUCUCUCUCUCUCUCUCUCUCUCUCUCUCUCUCUCUCCUGCUAGCUCUCAUCUGUCACUGUGAGUCUUCGUCUUCUUCUUCUUCUUCUUCUUCUUCUUCUUCUUCUUGUAAUGCGCAAUAUUUUAUAUGUUCUGUAUUCUUUCUUGUGUUUCCAUGUUGAACCAGAAUUUAAUUCUUUUCUAUUUGUUUUUUUUUUUUAAAUCUUCUUAAAAAAUCUGGUGAUUUCAAGAAGAAGAAGAAGCUGCACUUGUUUUAUGAAUACAACUGAGUUAAUUUGUGUACUUUUAUAAUGUUUUAAGCUUAUGUUGGUCAUUUUGUAUUUUGUUUUUGCAUUUUCAUAAGUUUCUCUAGGAUCCCUUUUCUCAAGUGUGGUCCUUAUCUGUCCAUUCUGAGUUAAAGUGGAGGUGUGGUUAGGUUUCUGAUAGAUGAUUUUAUUAGUAAUCUUCAUUAUAUGUCAAGGUAAUGGGAUAAAGUUUGGUGCAUAAUCAUUUCAUAAUCUUGCAAGUUUUAGUAACUUUCAAUAACUCUGUUUCUUGUAAUUGCAGUGUUUAUUGGUUUAUUGAGGGAAUUUUGUAGGAUUCACAAUGUUUAUUCAUUAUUCACCCAUUUAGGGGUUUUGAUUUUUUUUUUUCCUUCAUGUUAUAGUUUGUAAUCACAAAAUAUUAGGCAUUAAAAAUGUGAAAUAAUUACAUUGGUAGCUGUUCUCCUUUAGAUAAUCCGUUGACAUGUAUAUCAUUUUGUAGAAGUACUACUGGUUCUAGGCUUGUAUCUGUAAUUGAAAUUUUAUUGGCAGCUGUUAUUGAACCAUUGAUUUAAGGGACCGCAAUUCAGAUGCAUAUGUCCUUAUUAGUUGAACUCCUUUUUGUUCUGGCACCAUUCAUCUUUCCUUUCAUUGGAUCCUUUCUAAGAUGAGAAUCAUUACUGUAUAUUUUUUGUAGCAGCGGGUGAAUGAUUAGAAGAUGUCUUUAAUCAUAACUAAUAUAAGGGUUCUAUUCAUGUGUGCCUUAACUAUUGACAGUAAAUGUAAAAUUUCUUUUAACUGUGUGAUUGAAGGGAUAAUUUAAUUUUCUGUUUGAUGAUAAAUUGAUUUCUAUUGUAACUUGGAUGACGAUGUUUGAUGCUUGCAAAACAGCAAAAGUAGUUUAAAAAAUGAUCAGUUACACAUCACAUUAUGAUAUAUGGAAUAAAUAUGUGGCCAGCCAGAAAGGAAUGAAAAUGGUAAACGAGUAAAGGCAUUUGUGCCAAUUAUGCUGUUCAGGAUUGUGGGGAAUCAUCUACUGCUUUAUUGGAACAAGCAGCUAUAUCCCUCUUUAUUCUAAAGUCAUAGCAAGGAAAAUAGACAACAUAGUGCACGAUUAAAAUUCUUUCAUUGGUGGAAAGAAAAAAUUUGUCAACUUCUGUGCCGUCUUGGCAUUCUUCUCUGUAUUUGAAUGUGCUCUUUUCCCAUAUAUGCCUAAUUUUAAUUCUUUCCUCAAUUUCUACAAACAUUGACAGUGAAAGAAAAGCUUUUUUUCUGGAGGUGAGAAUGGUGGGAGAGAUCAAAGAGAAGCUAUUAGGAAACACGGAGGAAAAUGAUGUUGAUGGGCAAGUGAAAUUCAGGCAAAAGCUGUGGGUGGAAUCCAAAAAGUUAUGGAUUGUAGCAGCUCCCGCUAUUUUCACAAGAUUUUCUUCAUUUGGGCUCAACGUAGUUAGUCAGGCAUUUAUUGGGCACAUUGGCGCGACCCAACUAGCUGCCUACUCACUUGUGUUUACUGUUCUCUUGAGGUUUGCAAAUGGCAUCCUGGUAAGCACUCUCUAUCUGUUUCUUACUUGAGUUGUCAUUUAUUGAAUAGGUUUUUGUUUUGGCCUUGAUUACUACGGCCAGCUUUAGAGUAUCUGAGGUCUUAAGCGGAUUUAUUUUACGAGGUCUCUUUUUACUCAGCAAUGUCAAUACUCAAAAAAACAUAAAAGAACCCAAAAUUCAUUUCAUCUUUAGUUCUUGAAUUUCAACAAAAAAUCAAGAAGAUCCUAAAAAAUUUUGAAAACAAAACCUAAAAUUUACUUUCUUCAAAACAUUUACAAAAAUAAACAAACAAAUAAAUGAGAACAAUACUAUUUUCAAAUCGAAUGUUUAGAAUGGUAGCACAUGAAAAGUUGGGAUUAUGAUUUGAUAAUCAGAAAAUGGAUAUGGACUUUGUAUUUCAAGAAACUAAUUUUUGAUCUUUUUGAAUGAACUAGCAUGUAAUAAUUUUUUUUUUAAGAGAAGAAAGCAAGAAAUUUUUUCAUCAAUGAUUUUUUAUAUUAUAAGUUUCUUAAUAAAAAUUAAAAGGAAUGUUACAAAUCAAAGAUUCUAAUGUUAAAUAAUUAAGCUUUUUUAAGAAACUGAAAAUGUAAAAAAUUUAUUUAUUUCUCCUGAAAAAAUAAUAAUGAAUAAAUUAAUGGUUAGACAAUAUUAUUAAUUAUAUCUCUUCAACAAUAAGAUUACUAAAUAUAGAUUUUUUAUGAAAAAAUAAUUCUUAAUUAUAGGAUAAUUAGUGAUCAGAGAGAUGUCUAAUAGGCUUUACUACCAUACAUAAUAUUUUGAAAAAAAAUCUUUAUUAAUUAGAGAAUUAUUAAUGAAAUACUUAAAAAAUGAGGCAUUUCUAAAAUUUGGGGCUUAGGCGACUGUCUAGUUUGCCUAUAUUUAAAGCUACCUCUGUUGAUUACUGUUUUUUUUUUCGUGUGUGUAGUAUUUGUGCUAUUUUUAGUGGAGAAAGCUGCAAAAAGAUAUGUAUCAUAAAUUAUGUUCUGUUCAGGGUUGUGGUUGUGAGAUUUAAUAGCUUAAAACAUGACUACAACUUUUGCUGUAACCCUAUUGGUGGCAAUGCUUUACUGAACUUUUAAAGCAGACACAAGAAGAAGGGGAGAAAGGACAAGGAAAAGAAAAAUUCUUUACCAGAUCAAAAUAUUUGAGUGUAGCUACCAAAUAUAAAUGUCUUCUCAUAGCUAGCAAAGUGAAGGCAAAAGUAUAUUUACCAGAAUUUGCUGGCAGCCAAACCAAUGAACCUUCUUUAAUGAUGCAAGGGUUAACACCAAUCAAUAUAAUUUGAAUUUCAAUCAGGAUAUCUGAACUUUCGCCACUCAAAAAUGUCUACUGCUAUUUUUUUUAGUGUUUCGACAAAUUUUUCAUGCAGUCAUAUUCCCCAAUCACAUAAUCUGAGAACUGUAAUGGCUGACCAAGAGCUUCAGAAAAAGAAUGUUUCUUUUCCAUUGCAGUUCAGUUUUUUUAAUGAGUUUCAAUGCUUUCCAGUCACUGUCUAGCUUCUAUAAGAAGAUGUGUUAUAAUGCAUGGUGUUAUAAGUCAUCUGUUCACAAGGAAUAUAAUUCUCUAAAUCUAUAAAUAGUUGCUUCAGUUUUCUCUUGUUCUGAUAUCUGAAUUUGAAAGUGCAGUUGGGCAUGGCUAGUGCAUUAGAGACGCUCUGUGGGCAAGCUUUUGGGGCGAAACAAUACCACAUGCUAGGAAUAUAUCUUCAAAGAUCAUGGAUAGUCUUAACCAUUUGUGCUAUCCUUCUCUUACCUCUGUUCUUCUUCACUACACCAAUUUUGGUGGCUUUGGGCCAAGAAGAAAAUAUUGCUGAAGUGGCAGGAACUAUUUCUUUCAUGCUAAUCCCUGUGUUGUUCGCCUUCAUCAUAUCCUUUACCUGCCAAAUGUACCUACAAGCCCAGAGCAGAAACAUGAUUAUCUCCUACUUGGCGGCAUGUUCAUUUUUGCUUCAUCUCUUUCUUUCGUGGCUUUUUACCAUGAAAUUGAAUUUUGGACUCCCUGGAGCAUUGGGAUCAACAAUUCUGGCAUACUGGAUUCCAAACUUGGGUCAACUUCUGUUUGUUAUAUGUGGAGGGUGCCCUCAAACAUGGAAGGGUUUCUCAUUUGCCGCUUUCAAGGAUCUCUGGCCUGUAGUAAAACUUUCCUUGUCGUCUGGUGCCAUGCUAUGGUGAGGUUCUUGUCUAAUUGUGGCCUUGCAUGAAUUUAGGCAGUCAAAGAUUAUGCAUUUUAUAAAUUCUAAUUGGCUUAACUGGGAAUCGGCAGAUAAGAGUCUAGGGCUUACAUCUGAAUCUAUAUCAUUUCAUAUGUGUUUGUUACUAUUAUUAGUUUCGAGUGGGAUCUUUCCUCAUUUUGUUUGUGGCCAUGUUUCAGCCUUUCUUGGUUCUUCCCUUUUGUUUAGAUCAUUGAUUGCUUCAGUUUGUGUUACUGUGUGGCAAUAUCAUAUAUUCUUUCUUUCAUUGGGUUGUGGGGGCAGGGAAAUGGUGAAUUUUAUAUUAUGAUAUGAAUCCCUGAUAAAAAGUACUUGUUUGUGGUCUACAGACAACAUAUAAUAUCGCUGAGGAACAAUGAUGUUAAUCUAGUAUUUGCUGAUUAACUGCCAUAUUUAUGCUUUCCUGUAACUCAACCAUGUGGGGAUUUUAACUCAGCAUUAUGUUAUACUUGACAGUCUCGAGCUCUGGUACAACACAGUCUUGGUUCUUUUAACAGGAAACAUGAAAAAUGCUGAGGUUGCCAUUGAUGCUCUUGCGAUAUGGUACCAAAUUCAUAGGCUCCUUCCCAUUAUCAUCAUUUUGGAUUUUGUUUUCCUCUUCUUUUAUAUGGGGCCAGUUAUCUAUUUGGUUUAAAUUAUUCUUAUUUGCAGCAUCAACAUCAAUGGGCUAGAAAUGAUGAUCUCGCUUGGUUUCUUGGUUGCAGUAGGGUAUAAUCCUCUUCUUUUUCUUCUAUUUUUUUUAUUUUUUUAUAUCUUUAUUCUGUUCUUUUAAACAAACUUACUAGAUUUAAAGAAUGAAAAUCUGAUUAUGAAACUCAGUUAACUACAAUCCCGACUGCCUUAUCCAUUUGCAGGGAAAAAAAAACUUAUUUUUUGCCUUCAGCCUUGACCAAUAAUUUCAGCCAUAUCUUGCGUGAACUUCGGAUAGAAGUCAAUCUAAUUAUAUUUCUGUAUUCUAACAAAAACUGCUCGAUCUCCUGGAAACAUUUCUGUGCAUAAUGCAUGAUCCUCAAGGCGAAGUGUUGUAGAAAAUGGAAUUAUCUAUUCCCUUAACAAUGUUUCACGUUAAUAUUGAAUAUUACUUCUCUAUUACCCUUUUCUUUGGAAGGUUGAUAUAUGUGCUGAAUAAACUCAGUUUAGUUGGAAAAAUGUUCAGUGUUAGGGUGUCAAAUGAGCUUGGCCGAGGAAGCGCAAAUGCUACGAAAUUUGCUAUUAAGGUGGCAGUUUCCACAUCCUUUUUGAUUGGAUGUGCACUCUUUAUCAUUUUCCUCUUCCUCAGAGGACGCGUAGCAUACAUUUUCUCCGACAAUUAAGAUGUGAUUGACACAGUUGCAGAUCUAUCACCACUACUCUCUUUCUCUAUACUUUUGAACAGUGUGCAGCCAGUGCUCUCCGGUAAUGCUUCCCUUUCUUGUCAGUGUCUUUCUAUAUUCUCCAAGUCACCAAUUGAAUGGGAGGGUCCAAGAUAAAAAGGAAAAUAUGUUGUUAAAUUCGUAACCAAAAAUCAUGCCUGAACAGGAGUUGCUGUCGGGGCUGGAUGGCAGAGUAUCGUAGCAUAUGUUAACAUCGCUUGCUACUACCUGAUUGGGAUUCCUAUCGGAGUCGUGCUUGGUUAUUUAACCCAUUUGGAAGUCAAAGUGAGUUUUCUUUUUCCCAUUCUGCUGUAUCUUUGCGUUUUACUUAGACUUGGCAGUAUUUGUAUUGUUACUGUUGUCUCCAAAUAAAUAUAACUCAGUUCGGUUCCAUUUUAAUUUGGCUCAAAUCAUCAUAUCCUAAUUCUCUGGUCCUGAAAGUACGAAUAUAAUGAACAACCGGUCUCCUCAUUGUAUAAUGCAGAUACCUUGCAGCUUGGUUUGUCAUCAUGUUAUUGAUUAGGAGUGCCGCAGCAGUUUUUUGUUAAGGAGUUGCUUUUCAUGAGUGCACACACAUCAUUCUUUUCUUCAAAAUUCUUAGGCACAGAAUACAAAUUGUUCCACAAUUAAGUAGUUUAAUUUUCUUUUUGUACUGGCUCUAUUUUGUCCUCUCUCUUUUUGCAGGGUGUUUGGACCAGAUAAGUGGUUCAUUCCCAAAUCACCGGAACAAUCGCCUAACGAACAAGCAGAUGUCGCAGCUUGACAUCAAACUUCUUCAAUUUCCAAAAUCUUUUUUGCUUGGUGUAAAGCUUUUGCCAAUUAAUUGCUUACAGUUUUGUUUUUGCUUUCAAGAGUACAAUCAAGCAUUCAAUCUGCCUCAUGGGACUUGAUGUUCAAGUACAUUGCUCAUGUAGAUGGAGAAUCAAAAAGUGGAAUUUCUUUUUUUUGUCCUGUUUUUGGUGUUUCAACAUCACCAUUGUGAGAUUCAUUCGUAUUGGCUUAAUUGUAGCAUUGGACAUGAUAAAUUUCGGAUUUGUUCAUUAGAUAGUUGUAGAAAAUGAGCAUGUGCUCACUUAAUACAGUGUUCAUACUCAUGCAUUAGUUUUGUAAAUAGUGUGUACAAUAGUUUAUAUCCUAGCGUGAUUAGUAAAGAUUAAUUGCUUGUGUCAUCAAAUUACUGGAUUAGCAAUAAUGUCUGCAACAUUUCAAAUAAAUAAAAAAAAGUUUGCAAGGUGCUUACAAAACAACUUCUCUUCUGUGUCUCCAUUUGUUGGAUGAAAUGAUGUUUAACUCAUACUUUGAAACAACAUCAUCCAGGUCUGCUAUGCCAAAGGUAUUUUACAUACCUUCACAAGACAACCAAUCAAAUUGGUUCAAAAAUUUUGGAAGAAUCAAUUUGGUGGACCAACCGCGAGAUGAAGACUGGUACCGAUUAAGUAGAAAGAAUGAUUGGUUAUAUAAACCAAAAAGAACGAAAAAGAGCAUGAAGACAAGCUGCAUAGGUCAUUGAUGACUUAAAUGAUCUUCAAUUAUAUAAGCAAUCGUACAGGACAGUUUUUUCUCCCUAUUUCAGCAUAUGUCCAGUGAUGAUUUGUCACGUAACAUAAUAUUAAAUUUAAUUAUGCCAAUUUUUUCUGCUCAAAUAAUCGUUACCUGAAAAAGUAGAUUGGCAACAAUAAGGACAAAGCCAACAUGAUUAUUGUGGUAAAGUGUUGACCAUCACUCAAAUCUUAUCGCAGGUUCAUUCACUUAUAAUAAAAAAACAAUCAAGCUUUGAAUUACAAAAUAAUAAAGAUAUUCUUAACGGACGGACAUUAGCCACCCACAAUCUAUAUAUAUAUAUAUAGUGAAAACAAAGUUCAAUUUGUGUUUUGAGUUUAACACUCGCGAUCAUAAAUAUUAUUAUUAUUACUUUGUGCUUGUGCGCAGAAUCCAUGAACAACGCUGCAGUGUAAAUUAGGCAGCUAACAAGGCCAAAAAAGAGUAAGUUCAAUUUCCUUGCUCCACUACUAUCUCUUGUUUUCAUUUCUCUUUUGCUUUGUGAUUUGUGCCCAAUCCUGGAAUUUGUAAAUUUCAUCUCAGAACACACUGCAUGUUGUUCCUGAUUGAGGGUACCUUUUUCCCUCUUCGCAAAGGGGGAUGUUAAGUUGUUUUGGACUCUCUUUAUUACAGCAAAAGCUGGAGGCUAAAGCGCUGGGUUUCUGAAACACCCAAUUUUUGAUGGAAUCAAUUUAAUUUUACAGAGAGAAUGAGGUGUUGGCUUUAAAAGAGUAACCAAAUGUUCAAUAAUGCUUUUCAGCUUUUGGUAUUGAUAGGUACACCUGCUAUUAUGGUGUUUGGUUUCAUCUACCAGUCAAACUCAAACAUAUUACAACAACUAACGGACAAGUACACUUCGAAAUAAAUACACUACCACCACCAGAUGCGCAUACAUCGAUGUAUUAUUCCAAUCACCAUAUGCAUCACUAUCUUUACAUUUUAGAAUUUUUUUUUUGUUUUCUUUUGGGGCGGGGGGGGGGGGGGGGUGUUGAGGAUAAAUAUUGAAUAAUACCACUUGGACAGAAAAGCAAGAUGACAGAAAUGAUAAACUGGAGGGUAUUUUUUACUUACGUUAACUAUUUGGUUACAAGUGAGAAAUUGAGUUCCAACUUUAUUGCCCUGUUUCAUAAUGACAAAAAUAAAAAUCACAUGAUUCUCAUUUCGCUUUCUAUCACUUUGCUUUCCUGUCAAGAUGUCAUUUCUUGUAAACAAUCGUGGCUCAAUUUGGGAGAGUGUGAAUCGUACAAUCUAAUUUGAGCGCGUUCACGGUCCCAAGUGGAUGGCAUAAUCACACAUUUAUAUGCCAUCAACCAUGAGUUUUUUACAGUUCCUUAAUUUGCAUGCACCAGCUUUCUUUCACUAACAUGAGACAAAACCUUGUGGGGGCAUUACUACAGUAUUUUACACAUAGUGUACCCCACAGUUGAAAUACCGUCACCAAUGCAGCUUAGAGAUAGUGUCCAAAUUGUAAAGUACAAUGUCUUUAUAAUUUCGACUCUUACAACAGGUCAUAUGCUAAAAAAUGUGGUUAAUUUUUGUGCCACAGUAUCCCCUCUGUUUAGAUAAGACUGUCUAUAUAUUUUAUAGAUAGUGAAAUUAAAAGGGCUUUCACAUUCAUGACAUUUAACAUGUUAAAAUCUUGGAAGCUCAAGCUGAAGGCAAUUACAUAAGUUAGCAUUUGUUUAUUAAACACUUCAGAAUAACAAUGGACAACGGAUUGGAAGAGCGAGAGAGGCUUCUGGGAUUCGAGGAACAGGAGAGGAAUGAUCUGAAACAGAGGAUUUGGAAGGAAAUGAAGCUGACGUGGAGGAUUGCAUUUCCUUCUAUACUUUCCAGGAUUGCUUCAUUUGGACAAAUUUUGGUGACACAGAGUUUUCUUGGACAUGUUGGGGAAAUUGAACUCGCCUCAUUUGCACUCGUUCAAAGCAUCUUUUUGCGCUUUGUUAACGGAAUACUGGUAAGCAUCGUCAAUUUGAAUCAUAUACAUGUUUGUGUGUGCGUACGUUUGUGAAUGUGUAGACCACUGGAUUGAAGAAAGACAGUAACCUGAAUGAUUUUCUCUGAUCCUGUACUAAACUGCAAUCUGCUUUAUGUGAUGCCUUUUACAAAUGUCUUUAUAUAUAUAUAUAUAUAUAUCUUUUUAAAGAUCUAGUGACGAGCUGUUGUUUGCCUCUAAAUGUUCUAUGGUUCGUUUCAUUUACUUGUUCAUUCAUUUGAAGCUGGGAAUGUCAAGUGCAACAGAGACAUUAUGUGGACAAGCAUUUGGAGCAGGGCAUUAUCAUAUGAUGGGAAUUUACUUGCAACGAUCGUGGCUAGUUGAUUGUGUAACUGCUACAAUAAUGCUCCCCGUCUUCAUCUUUGGAACACCGAUCAUGAAUCUGCUUGGCCAGCAAAAGGAUAUAGCAGAAACAGGGGGGGUGAUUUCUCUGUGGUUGAUUCCCUUUGUUUAUAACUUCGUCUUCUCCUUGACAAUCCAAAUGUUCUUACAAGCACAGCUCAAGAACAUGAUUAUCGGGUGGCUAUCUACUGCUUCUUUCCUGCUUCACGUGCUUAUGUCCUGGAUCUUUGUGAGUGAACUUGACUUAGGUAUUGCUGGUGCAAUGGGCUCAUUAAACAUUUCUGCUUGGCUAAAUAUCAUUGGAUUGUUUGUUUACAUCUUCUGUGGUUGGUGCCCUGAUACUUGGAAAGGUUUCACCAACGCUGCCUUUACUGACAUUCUUCCUGUAAUAAAGCUGUCGAUAUCCUCCGGGGUCAUGAUAUGGUAAAUAUUGAAUGUUCUUCCUCGGAAAUUAUAACCUGCAUGUCAUGAUGCAUCUCCUGGGUGCUAAUUAAUUUAGCUUGUAAAAUCCUACGAUAGUACAUGAUCUGCUGUUCAAACCUCGCUCAUUUUUAUGCUAUGCUUUAAAAAAUAAGCAAACAAAUAAAUAUUGGAACGCUCUCUAAAUCUGUCUCAUAAGAUUCCGUUUUGACACUUUUUUUUCUUUUUUGGUUUCAUAAUCAAUUAUCUUACUUAAUUUUGAAUUGUGAUAGCUUGGAGCUCUGGUACAAUUCCAUUCUAGUCUUAUUGGCUGGGUACAUGAAAAAUGCAACCGUUGCCAUAUCUGCUUUCUCUAUUUGGUAAGGUCUUAGCUAUUAUUAAAACCUUAUUUCACAUUUAUUACUUCCAGUUCCAGUUGAUUUUCCUAAAUAAUCUUUUUAAGAAUUUGGCUUAAAGCUAAUUAAUUACAUUGUUGUUGCAGCCUCAAUGUCAGUGCAUUUCAAUUAAUGAUCUUCCUUGGCUUCCUUGGUGCCUCAUGGUAUAGAUAUACAUUGCUUCAACAAAUACCCUCUCUGGCUCCUUAUACUUGAAAUUCACAAGCUCUAAUGUUGUAAUAUCAUUUGUUGAUCAGCGUGCGAGUGUCGAAUGAACUCGGGAGAGGAAAUGCGAAAGCCACAAAAUUUUCCAUUAAAGUCAUACUCACUAUUUCAGCCUGUCUUGGAGUGAUCUGUUGGAUUUUAUGUUUAAUCUUUGGCCGUCAGAUUUCAUACCUGUUUACAACUAGUGAGGAAAUUGCAGAAGAAGUAUCGAAACUAUCUGUUCUGCUUUCUUUCUCCCUUUUGCUUAACAGCGUUCAGCCAGUACUCUCAGGCAAGUGUUAUUUCUUCGAAAACUUGGAAAAAAAAAUAAUAAUGCUAUGAUUACUAAGUGUGCGUUUGAUAUUAAGGUGUUACAGCUUAAAAGCUACAUUGGUUGUGGAAAAAAAAUGUAUCUAUAAAAUAAAAGUUAGUAAUACGUAAUAAAUAUAAAUUUUAAAUAAUAAUUUUGAUAAAAUUAUUAAAGAUAUAAUAGAUUUUUCAUCACACAAGUGAAAAAUUGUAUCAGUAUAACUUUUAAGUUACAGUAGUUAGUGUUUACCAAACACUUUAGUGCUGUACCUUUUAAGUUACAGUUGACCAACUUCAAUUCCAAACGCACCCUAAGUAUGAUACUUUGUUGGGAUACUCAUUGAUGCCUCGCAAAUCAAUUUUUCAGGGGUAGCUGUAGGUGCUGGAAUGCAAAGCACGGUUGCAUUUGUUAACUUGGGAAGCUAUUACUUUGUUGGAGUUCCUACAGGAGUUUUGCUUGCAUAUGUGGCCAAUCUCGGAGUUACGGUAAGAAAUAUAGUUUAUGUUUAAUUAAUAAUAACGAUCAAAUGUACUCUGGUUAAUUGAAUACAAUUUUAAUUAAAUAGAUAUGGUGUUUUGUAAAAAUUGUACCAUUGACUCUCUCACGAGUUGAUUGAUGUUGGUUUAAUUUGACAGGGUUUAUGGAUUGGAUUGUUGGGUGGAAUUGUUAUUCAAACCAUUAUUCUUUCCUUCAUCAUAUGGAGGACCGAUUGGGAUGAUCAGGUAAAUUAGGAUUGAUUGCAGGGCACGUGUUGUGAUUACUGCAAAUUUUUAUGAGAUUAAUUAUUGAGUGGUUUUCUUUAGAACACACUCUUUGAAAGGUUUUUUUGGUCCACAAUGGGUGUUUAUUUAGGUUAUAAAAAUUUAAAAAAUAAAUAAAGAUCAAAAGUUGGCUAAAAUUUAUAGAUAUUGCUCUCAUUCUUGCAGGUGAACAAGGCAUCCCAACGUCUCAACAAAUGGUUGCUGAAACCAUCUGAAAAAUCUGAUCGAAGCUCUCUAAAUAUGUAGAGUUGUGUAAUUCAUUACUUGCACAAGAAUAUUUGUCGGUUGGGCCUAUCAGUAGAAUAAUAAUAAAUCUGAAUGAGUUGAAUCCAAAGUUAUUCUUUUUUUUUUUUUUAGAAGGAAUCCAAAGUUAUUCAAUUGAAUGUAAAAUGGAUUUUCCAUCUUCUUUUGUCACCCCUGGAAAAUCCAUCUUAAAAUCUCUUCUUUAAUUAUAUAUUCCACUUAAUGUCAAUUUUUUAAAAUAAAUAUUCUUUUUAUUUUUGAAUCUAUGUGUUCCUGUAAUUUUCUCACUUUUAAAACUAUUUUUAGUCUUUAAUAUCUUUACUCUUCUCUUUGAAUUUUCUCUAUCUGCAAAUUCAAAAAAACUAACUUCUCAAAUAUUAAAAAUAAAAAUAAUGAAAAUGAGAAAAAAAAAGAGAGAAAGGAAAAUAGAUUAAAAUUGAAAUUUGUACGAACUAUUUAUAGUUAUUAUAGAGAUAAGACUAGAAAAGGGAAUGAGAAGCAAACCUUUUAACAAGUACCAAAAUUUGAUGAUUAUAUAAUACCGCGGACUGAAUUGAUACUUUGUUCUUGAUAAGGAUGAAUCACAAGAGCUGAGACGAUCUAGAAAGCUCUUGAUCAUAAUCAAUUUUGUAACCCUACUUCGGUAUGGUGCAUGCACCUGCUGGAAUCAAAUUCCUUGCAAUUGAUAGUUCCAACUUCGUAAGAUGAAAUUCGGUAAUUUUACAUAUAGGUUCGUCCCGAUUUGCAUAAAAUAUAGAUUUUAAAAAGUUUUUAUCUAAAUUUAAAAAGAAAAUAAAAAAAUUUAUUUGAGCCAGGUUAAAUCCUGGGACAUGUGGGUUAUGGGCCCACCGCAUUUAUGCUAUGUUGCUAUGAUUUUAUUGUUAAAAGUAGGGAUAAUAAUUUUUUCUGAUGAAAUCUUAUGGGAUCCCAUCUCAUUUGAGACAGGAUUUAGAUAUAUUUUUAUCUCACAAAAAAAUAUAGGAAUGGAAGUGAGAUAUUUUUUUAUCCCACUUACAUAUACGGGACGGGAUUGAGAUUGACAAAUUCCAUCCCAUCUCGUUUUCAUUGUAGACUAAGGAUGAGAAUUUUUCUAAUUGAGAUAAAAUCUCUCAGAAUCCCAUCUCUUUUUGGACGGGAUCGUGAUAUAUUUUUAUCCCAAAAAAAAUAUAAGAACGAGAGUGAGACAUUUUUUUAUCUCAUUUGCAUAUAUGGGACAAGACUGGGAUUGGUAAAUUCCAUCCCAUCUCGUCCCAUUGCCAGCCCUAGUUAAAAGGCUCUCAGUUUUAUUUAAAUAAAUCAAUGUGCUUUUAGAAAUUUCGAUAGGCAAUCUAAAUUGCUUUAUUGUUAAAAGACUCUCAGUUGCAUGUUCCCUUCUACGAUAUCUAAUACUCAAAGUCUUAAUUAUAUAUAUAAUUAGUAUUAUUAGUUGUAGGUAUCUUAUAUGAUCCGUUGAUAUCUGCAUAUGUACUAUUUAUUGUAUUAAUGCAAACUCUUUAUUAUUUAAUUAAUUCAAUCAUGAAGGGUAAAUAUGUCAUUUCACUUGAUUUAUACUCUUAAAACAUUUUGAACUCCAUGCUGACAUCGAGACCAAAAGUAAAAUAGAAAAAUAAUUAAUAAAGAUGACGCCGUUAUAACGGAAAAGAUAUAUAAACAUAUUUUGAAAAUUAGUGGAAGAUAUUUUUCUACUUAAUAACUAUCACCAACCAACAUCGUGGCGUCAUGCUACGUUUCCCUUGAGUGCUUGCGUCUUGUAUAUGCUUGGACUCGGAAUUUAUGCUCGUGGGCUCAUGUGUCCGCGUGUGGCCAAACAAAUACGAGACAAACAAAGACUCAAUGCACUCGAAAUCGUAAUCAAUGCUUCUGCAAUUUUUGCCAUUCAUCUGAGAGUAAGUGUUGACUGGCUUUCUUAGUUAUGCACUUAUGCUCCUGCAUAUAUGCCAAUGGCCAUUCAGUGACUCAGAGUUUCCACUUCCACUUUCUUUCUUCUUUUAUAUAUAUUUAUUUUUAAACAUGGUAAAAUUUUAUUGAUAUAUUUAAAAUUAGAAUCCUAAUAAAACUCACUUAGAUUAAUACUAUUAAAACACAGCUCAAAAUUAUACCCUCAUUAAUAAAAUAAAAUAUACUUUUCCUCAUAAUCUAAUUGACAAUUAGUACACAAAAGAGCAUUUUUACCUGGGGUCCAAUGUGAAAAAUGUUAAAUAAAAAGAAAAAAAGAAAGAAAAGUACAAAUCAUGAACACACACGUCGAGUGACGUGCCAACCGUCCAAAAUUUACCAAACCAGAAAAGAAAAUAGGGUGUAGAAUGAAUCACGUGAUUGAUCUUGUCUCGUUCACAUUUGUCCGAAAGUAAUUAUAGUGACAUCUUUCCUUGGCGACAGAAAUCCAUGGACGUGAUCUCGACAAACCCAUUUCUCAAAAUAACAAUUGAGAUCUAUUAGAAUAGGGAGAGUAACAUCUUAGUCCAUCUUAUAACUCAUUUUCACAUUUUAAUCUUUAAUAGAUUUUAAUACCUCAUUUUAUCUAUGAUGUUCAAACAAUGACAGAAUAAAUAAGCUGUUGAUGGGUAAAAGUUAUAUUUUAACAAUUAAAUUAGUUAAUUUUUAUUUGUGGAAGUUUCAAACAAUCGUUUUAUUUAUGAAAUGAUCAUACUUAUUAUGAAAUAAUUAUAAAGUGGUAAAAUCAAUUCACAUGAAAUUUACUUUUUGCCUUUUGAUCAUGUUAUGAAAUAACCUCAAUAAGUAUAUAUGCCUUUGAGAGUUUUACUGGUAUCAGUAGAGCUGAGUUGAUAUUGUUGGUGGUGUGGUAAGGAUAUGGUUUUGGAGGAUUUGGAUUUUUAGGGUAUUCCAUGGGUCUUACUUUUUUCAAAUCUCCAGUGGAAGAUAUUCAGCAUGUGGUUGCGAGCUUCAAUUCUCAUACUGUUGACAAUCUUGUCCAAUUUGAUGAGAAUUUCAGUUUUGAUGGGAAUCCAAUGUUGAUGCUUAUUUCUUGUUUGAGCCUGAGGAUACUGGAAGGCUUGAUCUUAGUCCCGAUUUUGGUAUUGCUAGCCCGCAUGCCUCUGGUUUAAAGAAAGGCUUCACAUUUGACACUGCUCGCAUGUAUAAUAAGCGGCACUCUAGGUAUUAGCUCAUCUUCUUAUAGUUUCUUUGUUAGAUUUUGCCUUAGUUUGCUCUCUUUAGUUAAUUCUUUGUUAUUUAAUUGCUUUUGCUAUUUAUUUUGUUUUUGUUAGUAGUGUUUGUUCUUUGACUUAGUGGUUUUGGUCACAUCACACUUCAAAUGUAUUUUCUUUUCUUUUAUUUAAUCUAUAGAUAAGGGGUCCCGCCUAACUUGGUUUCAAUUUUUUUUUUCUAAAAAGUUUGUCUUUUUUUCUUAUGCAUAUGCAUGAAAAUGAAUUAUGAAAGACCACAUCGCGAUAUGAUAAAAGAGCAACAUAUAAUUGAUAAAACUAUUGUGACAUGAUUGAUUAAAGAAAUAAAAAGUAGAUGUUUGUUUACUCUCUAUAUUUUGAGAAAAGUACUCAUUUAAUCUCUAUAUUUUAAGAAAUAAUUUAAGAUAACUUUGUUAAUAAUUAUAUUACAAUCUUACCCUUACUUUUCUUUUUGUUUAAAAAUAAAAUCAUAACAACAAUAUUCUUGAAAACAUUAAUGAAAAGAAAAAAUGUGAAUUUGUCAAAUCAACCUUAAAAGUAAAAUAAAAAUGAGUUAUUAUUAUUUUAGGAUUAAUUUGGUAAUUAAAUUAAUUUUAUACAAAAAACUAUUAGUAAGAUUGUUGCAAGGGUAUUAAACAUUACUUUAAAUUACUUGGUAUUCAUUUAUUUAUAAAUAUUAAUUAGCAAGAUUGUUACAAAAGUAUGAAAAAUAUCAAUUGUUUUAUACUUAUAUUUAUUUCUUAAUUUAUUAAUAAGUAAUUAUUGGUUAAUUUAUUAAUUAAUUUUUUUAUAGACUAAAAAAUUAAUGUAAAAUAUAUUGUUGUAAGAGUAUGUAAAAUAUAUUGUUUCAAGAGUAUUAUUGUAAACACAUAAAAAAGAAAAAAGAAAGGAUAGGAGUGUUAUAUAUUUAAUAAUAAAAAUGUCUUAAAGAAUUUUAAAAUACAAACAUUAAACGUAGAGUUAAGUUAAAUUUAGAGACUAAACAGCGAAACAAAUAAAGUAAUCUUGCUUUGCCAUUUCUCUUUGUCGUUAUUGUCAUAAAUAUUGUGACAAAAACAAGCACCAUGUAUAGUACAAUAUGCCCCAGAAGCAUGUAUAAUUUAAUUAAUUAAUUACAGAGCAGGGUGGCCAGUGGAAAGUGAACGGAUGGAUAAAUUCCCAAACGAUUGAUUUUGACGCAUGAAUGAAUUGAUUAUAUUAUGUUACAGAUUCUGUAACAUACGCACCCAAUGCAUGCACCACACCUGUCCUGCACAUGGAGAAAAGUAUGCAAUUAUUUUUGUUUAGUAUCUAGCUAACCAAUCAGGAGCUGGCCAAGUUGGAUCUGUAUGUUACAGAAUCUGUAACUUAGCCAGCUCCUUGAUUAUAUAUACCCAUGAGUAAUUAUUGUACGCUCAUUUUCACUGUUUUUUCAUUCCACUCUGUCAGCUUACUAAAUUAACAUCAUCCCAUUCCCCAGGUGUCUUCUUUGCUUGCCUCUACUUUCAUAUCUCCUCUGCCUAUGCAUUCUUGAAGUGAGAAAUUAAUCUCUUGGGCUGAAACUCUAGCUAGAAGCUAUCCUCCUUGUUCAACUAAUCAAGCAAGAACUUCUCUCAAGGCCAAGUAAGCUUCCUCCUCUCUCUCUUUGAAGUUUCCUCUUCUCUCUCUUUUUCUCUAAAUAUUUCUGUCAACAGUGACAUGAAUCAGAGGGGAACUACGUGUAGAGUUCAAUAUAGUUUUUUGUUAUAUGUUUUAAUUAACUUCAUAAGUUUUUUUGUUAAAGUUUUGAACGUAUGUGUUGUUGUAUUUGAUUCUUUUUCAAGAAAAUAAUUGAGAAAAUAACCCUACAACUGGGAACCCUUAAAACACAUGACAAAUGUAAUAAAGAAAUCAUAAUUCAUACUAAAAAAGCUAACUCUCUUUACAUACAUACUAUGCGCAGCUGUAUUUGCAAUUAGGUUCCUUUUUUUUUCUUUCAAUGAAAGAUAUGAAUCUCUUCUUUCAAUCUCUUAUUAUUUAAAUGAAUACAUAUAGAUUUUUUUCUCCUUAAUACCUACCCGUGUACUUAGUCAUUUUCAAUUCAUUAAUACUUUCUUGAAUAAUUUUUUUUUUUUUAAAUGUGGUGGUUGGACUGUAUUUUCUUUUAUUUCCUAUUUGUCCUUUAAGUAGUUUCUAUUAAUUACACUCACCCAUGAAUUCAGAUAAGUUGAGUGGACUUGAUCGUAAGUCUUCUUUAUAUUUAAUCAAGUUUUUGUCUGAUUCAUAGCUCGAAAAGAUACAUUAUUAACAUGAUUUUUGCUGUUACAAUGCAUCUUACCAACAUCGUACAAGUGCACCUUAAAUAAAUACUUCCUACCGGUGAGCGAACACCGAGACACACGCCACUUCGGCCGUGCCGAAGAGGUGGGCUGCUGCCCUCACAACGGUUUAAGCCCCUACAAAAGUAUUAUAGGGACUAAACAUUUAUAUAUUCUUCUUUCUUGCGAAAUGCAAGUGAAAUAGGGGCAUCCUCUUCUGUAAGGAUAAUUUAUCUGAAUAUCUAUUUCAUAUAAUGUAAUAUAAUCAUAUAUAAAUUCCAGUCAUAUAUAUUUGAUUAUAAAUAUCAAUAUAAUAUUUGAUAGUCGUUGUAAAUAUCUGUAUAAUAUAGUAAUAUAGUGUGUAAUCAAUAUUAAAAAAAAAACACCGAGACACACAAAAUCCACACAGAAUGAGACGCAAAAUUCAAGAGAAAAAGCCACUAAGAUUUUUAAGAGAUUUGCUUUUGGACUGAAACGUGACACAGACGUGCAUCGGUUACAUAAUUUUUUUUUUAAAAGAUAAACUUUAGAGUUUGCACAACUAUUUUGAAAUUUUAAAAAAAAAUUAUGAAACUAUUUUUAAAAUCAAAGAAUCUACAUAUUCAUUUAAACAAAUCUUAGACGUAUAGAUGAUUUUUCUAUUAAAAUUCAGACUCGAAUAAUAUCACUCAUAAUUAAACAAAGGUGUGUGUAUGAAAUAUAUCAACAAAUUAUGUGCCUAUUGGUUGCGCACAAGGCAAAUUUUUUUUUUUAAUUUUUGGUAUUGAUCAAAUUUAGAGGGGCCGGGAUUAGUUCUUUACUGGAUUAAAGCAGUCUAGGUAGAUUAAUUUGCUAUCUAUAUUUGCAUUUUCCAUAUGUAACAUUAUUUUCUCUAAACAAAACUGUAUUUUAGAUGGAGGAGAGACUACUCGGUUCAGAAGCAAAAGAUAUUGAUGAUUUAAAAGGGAGGGUUUGGAAAGAAUCGAAAAAGCUAUGGAGGGUUGCAUUUCCUGCAAUGUUAGCUAGGGUUUCUCAGUAUGGUAUGUUCGUUAUCACACAGGGAUUUAUUGGUCAUCUUGGUGAGGUUGAGCUUGCAGCUUACGCGCUCAUUCAAAUCAUAGCCGUCCGAUUUUCAAAUGGGAUUUUGGUAAGAUUUUGUGAUUGCAUUUAUUAUCCUUAUCUCCCAGUACAAUAGGGAUCGACAAAAUAUGAGCACUACUAAUCUUAUCUGCCCCCACGAUUCCACUCGACCUUCUAUUUUAUUUUUCUUUUUCAGAAAGUUGGUCUUAUUCGUCCGGGUAAUUCCCCACUUUAGUGUCCUAAAGUUGAGCUACAUAUUGACGCCAUUAUUUAAUUUGCACCUUUAUCUAAAAAGCAAUCAUGCAAAAAUUUUACUUAUAU